AUCUUUUUUCAAUUUUUGGCACCUUCAAAAGUAAACGGCCUCCGCUCUAGCUUCUCGCACAAACCCUCUAUUUUAUUUAUUGAUUCUUCUAAAAAUUAGUUCUUAUUUUUAGAUUCAAAAUUUUCGGAUUUCACAUGUCGUCUUUUCAGCCCCUUACGUAUACUAGUACUUUUAUUGAAAGGUUCUCAUAUUUUCAUUUUCAUCUUUUUUCUGAUCCAUACCACUACCGUCUUUUUGGUGAUUACGAGUUUAACUGAUUUUAUAGAAAAGUCCUUAUAGUGCUUAUUUUCAUAUUUUCAGAUCCAAAAUUUUAUGAUUUCACGCCCCAUCUUUUCAGCCCCUCACGUAUACUGCAAUUUUUAUAGAAUGGUCCUUAUAAUUUUUUAUUCAGUUAUCUGAGGAUGCACGAUUAACAUUUUUUUUACCAUUCUUAUUUUCAGAUCCAAAAUUAUAGGAAUUUUUUACCGUUCUUAAUCCAAAAUUUUAGGAAUUCCACGCGCUAUCUUUUCAGCCCCUCACGUAUACUACUAUUUUUUGUCGAAAGGUCCUCAUAUUUUCAUUUUCAUCUUUUCAUAUCCUUACCCCUACCAACUUUUUGGUGAUUACAGUCUUUUUGCCCCUCACGAGUUCAACUGAUUUUACAAAAAGUCCUUAUAGUUCUCAUUUCCAUUUUUUCAGAUCCAAAUUUUAGGAUUUCACGCCCCAUUUUUUUCAGCUGCUCACCUAUACUACUACUUUUAUUGAAAGGUCCUCAUAAUUUUUUAUUCAGCUAUCUGAGGAUGCACGACGCUCAUUUCUAUUCAGGUCUCCUCCUUCUGGACGGUUCAUACAUUUUUCUUUUCUUUUCGAAACGACAAGAUUCAUGCAUUCAUUAAGAAAAGAGUUGCUUGGUUAAUUAGACCAUAUAUAUACAAUAUAGUGCCUCACUUUAUCGAGAUGCCACUUUGAUGACUCUACCAUGGUUGCCUCCAGCGUGCGUGAGCAGAGCAUGAACUAUAAUCUCCCAACAGUUCAAAACAUGACUAGGAAAAUAAAUGAUUGCUAUAACAAGCACAUCCCUGUACUGACUUCUCCGUCGCAAGGUUCAGAGUGGACAUCCCUGUACUGACCUCUCCGUCGUAAGGUUCAGAGGAGAGACAUAGAGAUCCUUCUAUUGGUCGGGCUCGGGGCUGCAUCAUUAUUCAUAGCUCCCCGAGUCACCAUAGAAGUUGCAUCCACCGACCACUCAAUUUUGCGCGGGGGCUACUUCAGCGUACACAACACAUGCGUGACUUUGGGUGUCAAAACUGAAGGAAAUAUGCCCUAGACGCAAUAAUAAAGUUAUUAUGUAUUUCGUUAUAUCAUGAUAAAUGUUUAUUAUUCACUAGUAUACCUCUACUUGACUAGCUCGUUGAUCAAAGUGUGCAGCUAUAAAUGUUCUUAAUUAAUUCGCCCUUCAAUUGGUCGCUAGCAUGUUAUUAGGUCAGGUUGUGUGACGGCGUGAGUUUGAUCCACAAAUAGAUGUACUUUAUUGAAGUUUUGCUCGGCCGGCCCAGUAACAUCGCCUUCAGGCGCCAUUAAGCCGAACCGGCGCUCUCAGUUAGGAGCUCCCGGCCUCAUGAACAUUAUUGAGUAGUUAUAAAGUGUGUUCAGACUCAAAAAAUAAAAAAAGGUUAGGAGGUCCCCGAACUCAGGGUCGUCCCACCACCACAGUGUCUGGACGGCCAUGCCAAGCGCGACAGGCAUUCGCAGAAGAAAUUGGGCCAUGUAUGUAUGUAUGUAUGUAUGUAUGGGCCAACGCUACAACUUGCGAUGGAGAUGGACUCGGACCGGCCGAAAGAAGAUUGUAAUUAGCCCGUGGGGUCAUCGGCCUUGUGCUUGUAAUAAGCCUCGUACUGCCUGUGGAAGGAAAUGAGGCAAGAAGAAGCAGAUGGCGAAGCCCUAGAUUCUGUCGCCGCCGCCGACAGCUCUAAUAAACUUGACGAACCUGAUGGCGCUACGUUAUAUUGUUAGAAAGAUGCCGGCCCUCGGUCUCAGGCCGCCAUCGAUGGGCCCCCUUAUGGGUCCCGUCCGGGCGCCGUCGCCGGCGUCGGGGGAGGUGGCGGUAGCCGGCCCCAAGGAAGAAGUUGGUCAACUCCCUUGUGCCCCUCCAUCUUGACAUCGCCACACACGACGUGUGUUCUCGACGUACACCCCGGUGGGGUAGAGCCUCUCCGGCACGGUGAGGGGAAAGUGGUAGGAUGGCCUGAUGUACUUCAUGGCUUUUGCGGCCUAGUUGGGGUUGUUUGUGGUGAGAAGAAGGACAGAUGCAGGAGGGAGAGGAUGAGAGAUGGAUGAGGGUGUGAGAGGAGGAGGAAGAUGAUAGGUGGCUUUAAUAGCCCCACUGCGAUGUGUUUUUUGACUGGUUUCACACCGGCUGGAAGUAAUGAGCGGGCGGCGUUGGGUGGCAUCGGGAGUGUGUACACGCGCGUGGGAAACCCAAGGCUGCAUCAAUAGCCAGGCUAUGACAUUUCAGCGCACGCGGCUGUGCCGUCGAUCGAGGGUUCAUGCCUGCUAGGUCUUCUCUGUGUGUGUCGCCCGUGCAUGCAUGCAUCAUAGGCUGGUCGCUCGCAUGCAUGGCAGUGUAGCCUGCUGGUUGGGCGGCUAAAGGGAGGUGUGGUAACGUUCGCUCCAAAGGUCCAAUGGGUGGGCUUCUUUACCACAGCCCAACAGCGCGCAUGCAUGGUAGCAGCCCACCCUCAAGCACAGAAUAAACAAAGCACAAAAAAACAGGCGUUUUCAAAUCCAGCCAAUCGUAGCGCCGAACAAGCUUCACGCGGAUCGCUGAUGUGGCACUGCAGGCUGACCCACACUGUUCGACGCACAGCGAUCCAACUGUCAGAAAUAGUUGGGGGAGUUAUCCAGCGUUGUCGAUUACGGCCAAUCAGAGCGCCUCACUCGGAUUGCUGACGUUGCCCUAGUGCUUGAUCCACACCGUCCAUUCGCAGAUAUCCAACGGGCCAGAAGGAUGCGGGGUUUUGGCUAGGGUUUGAGGGGUUUUGAAGCAGUUAGGAGGGUUUUUUAAGGGGUUAUGAGGGCUAGGUUGACCAUAACUAAUUUUAAAGAAAUCAGAAAAAUAUGAAACUUGCACCCAUCAUCGUUUUAUGUUACUAGGUUGCUAGAAAAAAAUAAGAAACCUGGUCUACGGGUAUAUUCAUGAAAAACCCUUCACAAAAUCGAGCUAUCAGGAACGAGGUUGUGUGGGAUUCAGGCUAGGGUUUAGGGUUAAGCAUGUCAUAGUUUAUCCAAACGAUCCAAUAUUGGGCAUGGACUCUAUAUUUGCACACUAGAAUUCAUGGUUUGAUUUCUGGCUCAUUUAGAGAAGGUUGGAAAAAAAUUUGCUUGCAAAUGGGGUGUUUAUCCUAGCUUUGGAGCUCAUUUGGAGCACAUUUUUCAUGACUAGUGUUUCACUCAACAAGAAGUCAUCGGAUUGAUCACCUAACAUGCAUAAUAUUUGGAAAAUCAUUGUAACAUCAAUACCCUAACUAAACAGCUCCAAAUUUGAAUUUUGGCUCAAAUUUGAAAUUCGGCCAGAAUUUGAAUUGAGUUACACAAAUACCCAUCAAAGUAAAAAUAGCAUUACACAAAUUCUGGAAAGUUUUUUACACAAAUCCAGGCAAGUUUUUUUAAUCAGAAAAGAACAAUAUUUCACUUCUACUUCUUCUUACCACUCGAUUUCUUCUUCUUUUUCUUGGCACUUGUUGAUCCCACGACAGGUACAACGUCUAGUUCACUCAAGCUCCUGGUUUUCUAGACUGGACCAUCUAGGACGGCUUUACUUGGCACCACAACAUCUAAAAGAGGCUUAGUUUCCACAACAUCAACUACAACGGCUUCAAUUUGUAACACAACGUCCAAUAUAGGUUCAGCUUGCACAUCAGCCGCAUCAAUUGCAGUUCUAGUUUGUACCACAUUCUGCUCAUUUUGCCCCACAUCCAAGCCUUGCUAAUUUUGCACCACAUCUUACUCAUUUUGCACCCCAGCAUCAUCCAAGUUUGGCUCAUUUUGCAACACAACACCGUCCAUGUUUGACUCAUCUUGCACCACAACAUCAUGCAACUCAGGUUCAUCUUGCACCAUAACAUCGAAGUCUGGUUCGGUGUGCACACUUUCACCAAAACUUCUCUUUUUUCUACAGCCAUCGAUUCUUGCCCUUUUGAUUGCCCAGCAAUCUUCAACAACAAUGGGUUGACUUCCAAGCUUCCACCUGGAAAACAAUGCUUGUAAUUUGCCUAGUAAUUAAAAACAAUAUCGAAAUAAAAAAACAAACAUAAACAUACUUUGGCCUUUCAGGAUGUAAUGACAUUUUGGAGAUCCUUUUCAGUGCCCAAGUUCCUGGCACAGCUUGCAUCUAUUUUUGUUACCUUUUUGGGACAUUUUUGGCUUUGCAUCCUUCUUCCCAUUCUCCUUUUUACUAUUCCCACCUUUCUCAAACCAUGCAUUGAAUCUACUCUCUUUAGGCCUGCCAGCCUUUCUUUUUGUGAGGGGAGGACCCAUGGAAAAAUUCAAUUUUCUUCAGGCCACUGAGACUGAUCUGUAAGUGCUGGAAUUGGAGUUGCAUAUGCAGCCUUGAAUCUUGCCACUGAGUAAUAUUCAUGCAAAUAUGGGUGCAUGUUUAUCUUGGGUUGGGAGGCUAAGAAAAGUAUGGCAUGGUCACAUGGUUUCCGGUGUGUUGCCACUCGAGGCAAGUGCAGUCAUGCAACUCAGUGUUAAUUGAAGGAAAUAUGCCCUAGAGGCAAUAAUAAAGUUGUUAUUUAUAUUUCCUUAUAUCAUGAUAAAUGUUUAUUAUUCAUGCUAGAAUUGUAUUAACUGGAAAGUUAGUACAUGUGUGAAUACAUAGACAAACAGAGUGUCACUAGUAUGCCUCUAGUUGACUAGCUCGUUGAAUCAAAGAUGGUUAAGUUUCCUAGCCAUUGACAUGAUUGUCAUUUGAAUAACGGGAUGGCAUCAUUAGAGAAUGAUGUGAUUGACUUGACCCAUUCCGUUAGCUUAGCAUUUAAUCGUUUAGUAUAUUGCCAUUGCUUUCUUCAUAACUUAUACAUGUCCCUAUGACUAUGAGAUUAUGCAACUCCCGAAUACCGGAGGAACACUUUGUGUGCUACCAAACUUCACAACGUAACUGGGUGAUUAUAAAUGUGCUCUACAGCUGUCUACGAUGGUUCUUGUUGAGUUGGCAUAGAUUGAGACUAUGAUUUGUCACUCCGAGUGUUGCAGUGGUAUCUCUGGGCCCUCUCGGUAAUGCACAUCGCUAUAAGCCUUGCAAGCAAUGUGACUAAUGAAUUAGUUGUGGGAUGACGCACUACAGAACGAGUAAAGAGACUUGCCGGUAACGAGAUUGAACUAGGUAUUGAGAUACCGGUGAUCGAAUCUCGGGCAAGUAACAUACCGAUGACAAAGGGAACAACGUAUGUUGUUAUGCGGUUUGACCGAUAAAGAUCUUCGUAGAAUAUGUAGGAGCCAGUAUGAGCAUCUAGGUUCCGCUAUUGGUUAUUGACUUGAGACGUGUCUUGGUCAUGGCUACAUAGUUCUCGAACCCGUAGGGUCCGCACGCUUAACGUUCGGUGACGAUCGGUAUUAUGAGUUUUUGUGUUUUGAUGUAUCGAAGACAGUUCGGAGUCCCGGAUGUGAUCACGGACAUGACGAGGAGUCUCAAAAUGGUCGAGACAUAAAGAUUGAUAUAUUGGACGGCUAUAUUCAGACAUCGGAAGUGUUCCGGAGAUGUUUCAGAGAAAACCGAAGUGCGGGAGGGGUUACCGGAACCCCCCGGGGAAGUAUUGGGCCUUAGUGGGCCUUAGGGGAGAGAGAGGGCAGCAACCCAGGAGGUGGCGCACCGCCUCCCAUGGGGAGUCCGAAUUGGACUAGGGGAGGGGGCGCUGCCCCUCUUUCCCUCUCCCUCUCCCUCUCCUUCCUUCCCCCUUCCCCCUUCCUAGUAGGACUAGGAAAGGAUGAACCCUACUCCUACUAGGAGGAGGAUUCCUCCUCUCCUUAGGGCGCACCAAGGCCGGGGGGGACAUCCUAGGACACACAAGUUGAUUGUUCCAAGCCGUGUGCAUUGCCCCCUCCACCAUAUUCAACCUCGUUCAUAUCGUAGCGGUGCUUAGGCGAAGCCCUGCGUCGGUAACUUCAUCAUCACCGUCAUCACGCCGCCUUGCUGACGAAACUCUCCCUCGGCCUCAACUGGAUCAAGAGUACGAGGGACGUCAUCGAGCUGAACGUGUGCUGUACACGGAGGUGCCAUACGUUCGGUGCUAGGAUCGGUCGGAUCGUGAAGACGUACGACUACACAAACCGCGUUGAUAUAACGCUUCCCCUUACGGUCUACGAGGGUACGUGCACAACACUCUCCCCUCUCGUUGCUAUGCAUCACCAUGAUCUUGCGUGUGCAUAGGAACUUUUUUGAAAUUACUACGUGAGUUGUGGGCGAUACAAGUCAUACUGCUUACCAGCAUGUCAUACUUUGCUUCGGCGGUAUUGUUGGAUGAAGCGGCCCAGACCAACAUUACGCGUACGCUUACGCGAGACUGGUUCUACAGACGUGCUUCGCACACAGGUGGCUGGAGGGUGUCAGUUUCUCCAACUUUAGUUGAAUCGAGUGUGACUAUGCCCGGUCCUUGUGAAGGUUAAAGCAUCACAUAUUUGACAAAAUAUAAUUGUGGUUUUUAUGCGUAGGUAAGAACGGUUCUUGCUCAGUCCGUAGCAGCCACGUAAAACUUGCAACAACAAAGUAGAGGACGUCUAACUUGUUUUUGCAUGGCAUGUUGUGAUGUGAUAUGGUCAAGACUGAAGGAAAUAUGCCCUAGAGGCAAUAAUAAAAUUGUUAUUUAUAUUUCCUUAUAUCAUGAUAAAUGUUUAUUAUUCAUGCUAGAAUUGUAUUAACUGGAAACUUAGUACAUGUGUGAAUACAUAGACAAACAGAGUGUCACUAGUAUGCCUCUACUUGACUAGCUCGUUGAAUCAAAGAUGGUUAAGUUUCCUAGCCAUUGACAUGAGUUGUUGUCGGUAGAAAGCGACACCUAUGGGUACAACAAGGAUCCCUACUAUGGUUGUGGGGAGCUGGAAUUGGUGAGGAGAGGAGGAUCAACAGUAAGUGUAAACACGCGGGUCAUUUACCCAGGUUCGGGCCGCAUAGAUGCGUAAUACCCUAGUCCUGCUUGGAUGUGUAUAUCUGUGUUCUUGAGGAGCUCGAACUAGUUAUAGGGGGCGUAACUUGUCCAAUAGUCCGAAUCCUUCUCAUGGAUGCCUUGGGUCUCCUUUUAUAGGCAAAAGGGAUCGCCACAGUGGCACCAGGAGGUGGCAUCGGGGUACUGUGGCUAUGCUUAUUGCUAGUCAUUACAGGACAAAACGCAUUAAAUGCGCCCCCGACGUGUCCCCUCCGCUUUACUGCCGCUUUGCCUCGUCUUGACACGCGCCUGGACCAACGAGGCGGCGGCGCCAUGUAGGCAGGCAAGCAGCUGAGGUGGCGCUGUGGUGGAGCCUUCAGGAAGGUUUGCAUGCCACCACGUAGGCACGUGCUGAGUUGGCGAAGGAGCCCCGCGUUGACACGCAGGUGCCUGCCCGGCUGGUGGGCUGGCAGCUGCAUGGGAUUGGCGGUGGAAAGCUAGGUGUGUGCGGGCCUGGCUGCGGCCUCGCGGACGCUCCCGGCAAGGGCCUUGCUGGGGCACCGGCAAGGGUCUUGUCACGGCGUUACGGUCGUCCCCGGCAAGGAUCUUGCCGUGGGCCUUGUGGAUUCCCUCGGCAAGGAUUUUGCCGAGGCUCGUCGUCCCUCUCUCUUCUGAUUAAGAGUGUUGUUCCUUGUCUUCACAAAGAUCUGCAUGCCGCCAUGGAGGUGCUUCCCGAGCCCUGGCCCAAUGCAGUUGAUGGUGUUGGAAGACGUAGGCUCAAGGGUGGCUCGCUCCGUUGGUGUUGGGGCGAGCUGCCCCGGCAAGGGUCUUGCCGGGGCCGCAGAGGCCGCCCCGGCAAGGAUCUUGCCGGGGGAACCUGCUUGGUCCCUCUGCUCUCUGUGGUCUUGGUCUUGGCGUUGCCUUGCUUGUCUUGAAUUCACCUUGGUUCACCUCCCCUGCCUUGCCAAGCGCGGCCGUGGCGUGUGGCUUCGACUGCCCGUGCACAAGUAAAGGGGUCAAAAGGAGAGCCCCUACUUUUGUACACCGACAGGAGCCCCCAGGCCUGGGCCACACAUAAGCGCAACACGUUGUUGGGUCAGGCCCAAAAAUGGCGUGGGCAGGUGGGGCGGUUUUUAUCACGGUAAAACUUCGUCAGUGGCGCUUCCCCACGACCCGCGUUGAACGUGCGUCGUGGAGGAGCGCGCGUGACGUGGGGGGCAUGCGUGGGACGGUUCCCGCACGCAUGCGUCACGUCGCAGUUAAUGGGAAAGGAGGUGGCCCGCGCCUUCCCCGUAAAAAGGAAUAACCGCGGGUGCGCUGCUCACUUUACCCUCUAUGUGUCCUCUUCCAAUCUCAGAGCCACCGCCUUCUUCUCCUUACCCCCUAAGCUUCAUCCAUCGCCGCCGCGCCUCCGCCAUCUUCCGCCCUCUCGCUCCUCGCAGCUGCUAUGGCGCCCAAAUCCACCAGAGGAAAAGGAGCAGCCAAAGACGAUGGAGCGGCGGAGCAGCCGGAGAGUGAGCUGGUGGUGCGAUGGGCGCAGUUCGCCUACUUCCACCAUUCGACGGUCGGGGUGCCUGAGCUCCGAGAGUUAUUCAAAGCCCUGUGGGGAGUGAAGAUGGGAGGAGCAACGACGGGGCAUCCAGCUACGUGCGUCGUCCCGGCCAGCGCCGGGCCUACCCCGAACCGAUACCCCUUCUUCGUCGACUAUUUCUCCUGCGGGCUUUGUCCUCCCUUCUCUGAUUUCUUCAAUGACGUCAUGCGUAGCUACGGUUUCCGCCUUCUGGAUCUCACUCCGAACGCCGUGGCGUGCAUGGCUCUCUUUGCGCACCUAUGCGAGGGCUUCGCCGGGGUGCACUCCAGCACGUCGCUUUUUCGCCAUUACUUCACCCCUCGGAUCCAAAAGGGCGGCGCCAUUACUGGUUGUGUCACCUGGAUCUCGAGGUCCAAGGGGGCGUACCCGGACGGCGCCACGAAGGAGAGGUGGGAAGAAUGGCGGGCCCGGUGGUGCUGGAUUGAGGAGGAGAACCCGCCGGCCUUUUGCCGGGUCCACGACGCGCCGCCGGUUCGAGGAAACGAUUGGAGCGACCUCGAUGCUGACAACACGAAGCUCAGGGUCGCCACCACAAGGAUUCUUCGGCUUACCCAGGCCGGGCUCACCCUUGAGAUGAUCGGGGCGGACUUCAUCCGCCGCCGAAUCUCUCCUCUGCACGAUAAGGUGAGGCCGGCCUAGCUUUACACGAAUGCUGCUGACAUCAUGAGGCUUCGUCCUGGCCUCGAUCACAACCUGACGGUGCCGAGGCACACCCAUCUCUGCCAGCGGCUCUUCCAGCUCGAAGUCAAUGACGAGGGCGAGGUCGAGCGGUCCGGCAAGGCCGAGAGGGACGCAGCGAAGGCUGGCAAGGUCGCGAAGGAGCCUGUCUUUAAGUUGCCGGCGGGGGUGGUACAGUCCGAGAUCAUCGCCAUGAUGCCGGACUUCAACGCACACAGCCUCGACCCAAACUGGGUCGAGUCGGACGAGCUCCAAGUGUUGGAAUUCUUCGAUACGUUGCACGAGAGGUAUGCCACUACCGAGCCACGGCUCAUCCAGGACACCUCCCCGACAGAGCUAGACUAUAUUGCCGCCAGGGUGGAAGAGGCAAAACGCGCCACCGAGGAGGCCGGCAGCGCCGGCGGUGUGGAGGACAAAGCAGCGAAGGCCGCGGAGGAGAAGGAGGUCGCCAGGUGGGCGAAGGCCGCCGGGGAGGCCACUAGUGCCGGCACCGGGGCUCCUCUUGUUGAAGAGUCGGCCGACGAGUCAUCGUCGUCGGAGGAGGCCGGGGCUGUCGACCCUCUGGCCUCAGGGAGGAGGCGCGUCUUGCGCCGAGCCACUUCUGGUGAUCCGGUCCGCCCCGGGAAGGCCGCGUGGCAGCCCAGAUCUUUGGUGGAGUCCGCGCGUGAGGCGAGAGCCGCGACGGCGAAGAAAGUGGUGAAGGCCGCGGUGGCGACGAAAAAGGCAUUUGCUUCCUCUUCGUCUAAGCGUGUGCUGUACGCCAUGUCAGAGAAGUCGAAGAGGCCAGCAGAAAAGAACUCGACGACGAUUGCGGUGUCCAUUGGCGCAGGGCCAAUGUCACCAACGGUGGUCGGAGUAGACGAAGUGGUCAGGGUAGAUGACGGCGACGUUGACGAUGUGCUGGUGCUGGACAAAGACGAAGGAGAUGGACGGGCGACUGCGGCAGCUAUGGGGUAGCGGCGGCGGCCUGACAACGGCGUCGGCGGCUAGGCUAGGAGCGCGGCGGCGGUGCUCGAAGUAGGCGAAGAACCCUGACAACGUGACGAAGAUCGGCGCGGACGGUGGCGUUCCCGCGCCAAGGGAGAUGGGACGGCACAUACCACGAGAGGUCGACGUGCGGUGACGGCGGAGUGGACCGCGGGCCGCGACGCUACUUCCUGAAGGGGCGACGGCAGGAAGACCUCUGGGCGGCGGCGGGGACAGCGGGCCGCGGCGUACGGCCCGAAGGGGCGAUGCAGCGGCAGAGCGCGGGUGGGUGCAACCGCGGGGACGGCCUUGGGGCGGCGGCUGGGACCGCGUAUUGCGGCACUAUGGCCCGUACGGGCAACACAGCGGCGAUGCACGAGUCGAUGCAGCCGCGAGGAGAACCAUGGGGUGGUGGCGCUGCGGCCCGACGGGGCGACGCAACGGCAGCCCGUUGCACGAUCAGCGGAGGGGCGCGCUGAACUCGGGGACAAUCUUCAUGGGACCUGCGGAGGCGCGCGUAACCAAUGGGCCAGGUCGGUCGCGCGGCGUAGAUGAGGCAGAUCGCGACAGCGAGCGGGUGAUCAAGCCGAUCACGUGCGAGGUCGGGGACGCCGGUUGGUGGAGGCAGGGUGGUGGCGGAGUCCGGGAGGAGGCCGGCAACGACGGACGGUGUGGGACAUCGUGCAAACGAGUUUGUCAGCACCGACACCUGGGCUGCCAAAGCAGCGCCGGCGCCCGGGCAGUGAGACCCGAGCGACCAACAGAGCAGCGGUGCCCGAGUUGAGGCAGCCGACGAGCCUGACGCAGCCGUCCUGAUGCAGUCGAGGACGAGGCCGGCGAGGUAGACCACCGGACCACCGUGCAGACGCGGCGGAGGUGGGUGACGUGGAUCGACGGGUGGCCGGCGCGCGAACGAAGGCUAUGAUUGGCCAUCGCAUGGCGCGAGGCGCCAGUUCCGGGCGAUGCAGGUUUCCCGGUCGGAGCAGGGCGGUGACGGCCGGCGCAGGGCGACGGGUGGACCGGUGCGCGGACGGCGGCUGGCCCUGACGGGCAGCUUCGUCGCGCGUGGCCGCCGGGUGGGAGGAGACGCCGGCUGGUCUCGCCGGGGUUGAAGUAGAGGCGCACGGGGGUCGAUGCAAACCGAUCAAGAUUAGAUCGGAAAACCAAAAAGAAAAACGCCGAUCAAAACGACCGGCGAGAGAGAAAAAAAAACCGGAGCAAGGGCUCGGGAAAAAGAGUCUCUAGGGCAGCUGAGGGAGUCCCGGAUUAGGGGGUGUUCGGAUAGCCGGACUAUACCUCCCGCCGGACUCCAGGACUAUGAAGAUACAAGAUUGAAGACUUCGUCCCGUGUCCGGAAGGUUCUUUCCUUGGCGUAGAAGGCAAGCUAGGCGUGCGGAUAUUCGCGAUCUCCUACCAAUGUAACCGACUCUGUGUAACCCUAACCCUAUCCGGUGUCUAUAUAAACCGGAGGGUUGUAGUCCGUAGGCCAACUUCAUCAUAGAACCAUCUUCAUACACAAUCAUACCGUAGGCUAGCUUCUAGGGUUUAGCCUCCUUGAUCUCGUGGUAGAUCUACUCUUGUACUACCCAUAUCAUCAAUAUUAAUCUAGCAGGAGUAGGGUUUUACCUCCAUCGAGAGGGCCCGAAUCUGGGUAAAAUAAAGUGUCCCUUGUCUCCUGUUACCAUCCGACCUUGACGCACAGUUCGGGACCCCCUACCCGAGAGCCGCCGGUUUUGACACCGACAUUGGUGCUUUCGUUGAGAGUUCCUCUAUGUCAUCGCCUUUAGGUUCGAUGGCUCCUUUGAUCAUCAACGGCGAUGAGGUCCAGGGUGAGACUUUUCUCCCCGGAUAGAUCUUCGUCUUCGGCGGCUUCGCUCUGCGAGCCAACUCGCUUGGCCAUCUAGAGCAGAUCGAAAGCUACGCUCCUGGCCAUCAAGUCAGGUUUGGAAGCUUAAACUACACGGCGGAUAUCCGCGGAGACUUGAUCUUUGACGGAUUCGAGCCACAGCCAAGCGUGCCGCACUGUCAAGAAGGGCAUGAUAUAGCUCUGCUCCCGAACAGUGUCCUGGAGGCCGCAUACGCUCCGGCCCCGAUCCUUGAUUCGGAGCCCGCUACGUUCGUUGAGGAAGAACGGUUGGACGUCACCUCAGGGGCUGCAACGAGGCAAUUGAGCCGAACGCCGGUCCCGCACUCCGCGUUGCCCAUGACUCCGAGGAGCCAGACUCUUCUCCGAACUCCGGGCCUUCCACGCCCCUGCCGAUCGAAUCUGAUUGGGCGCCUGUAAUGGAGUUCACCGCCGCAGACAUUUUCAGUGCUCACCUUUUGGUGACAUCCUGAAUUCCCUCAAGUCUCUCUCUUUGUCAGGAGAGCCCAGACCGGAUUAUGGUCUGCGAGGUUGGGAUUCGGACGAUGAAGAAAUUCAAAGCCCACCCACCACCCACUUAAUAGCCACUGUCGACGACUUAACCGGCAUGCUCGACUUCGGCUCCGAAGACUUCGACGGUAUGGACGACGAAGGAGGAGACGAACAACAACCAGCACCUGAAGGGCGCUGGACCGCCACCUCGUCAUAUGACAUAUACAUGGUGGACGCUCCGAAAGACGGAGAUGGCGAUGGAACAACGGAGGAUGGCACCUCGAAAAAGCCUCCCAAACGCCGGAGUCAGCGGCACCGCUCUAAAUCCCGCCAAAGCAAGAAUGGUGAUUCCGGCACGGGGGAUAAUACUACCCCGGAUACCGCCGAAGAGCACCAACCCCAGCAAGACUCAGCACGGGAAGAUGGAGAAGCCAGCCUUCAUGAGAAAGCGGCAGAACAAGAGGUUGAGGAUGAUAACUAUAUGCCUCCCUCCGAAGACGAGGCAAGCCUCGACGACGACGAAUUCGUCGUACCAUCAGACCCUGCCGAACAAGAGCGUUUUCAACGCAUGCUUAUUGCCACGGCCAACAGCCUAAAGAAAAAGCAGCAACAGCUUAGGGUUGAUCAAGAUUUGCUAGCUAACAGAUGGACAGACGUCCUUGCGGCCGAAGAGUAUGAACUCGGGCGCUCCUCCAAAAAUUAUCCUAAGCGCAGGCCGCUCCCCCAAUCAGAGGAUGAAGCAAAUGACAUGGCAGACCGGCCACCUUGCGGCCGCGACAGAGAGGCCCGUCGAACCUUCAAACCAACCAUGCCCAGGGGCCGUUCGGCUAGGGCACAAGAAAACGAGCCAGACCUGCGAGACGUACUGGAGGACAAAGCAAGGCAGACAAGAUCGAUCUAUGGAUCGCGCGGACGCCCAACACGUGACGAUUUUCAGUCCGGACACAAUAAGCCCGGCCAGGCCGAACACAACAAGCACAGCUCUUCCGAGCUGCGUCGUGACAUAGCCCAGUACAGGGGCGCCGCACACCCGUUAUGCUUCACAGACGAAGUAAUGGAUCAUCAAAUCCCAGAGGGUUUCAAACCCGUCAAUAUCGAGUCGUACGAUGGUACGACGGAUCCGGCAGUUUGGAUCGAGGAUUAUCUCCUUCACAUCCAUAUGGCACGCGGCGACGACCUGCACGCCAUCAAAUAUCUCCCACUUAAGCUUAAGGGACCAGCUCGGCAUUGGCUUAACAGCUUGCCAGCAAAUUCAAUCGGUUCUUGGGAGGACCUGGAAGCUGCAUUCCUUGACAACUUCCAGGGCACUUAUGUGUGACCGCCGGACGCUGAUGACCUAAGCCACAUAAUUCAGCAGCCAGACGAAUCGGCCAGGCAAUUCUGGACACGGUUCCUAACAAAGAAAAAUCAGAUAGUCGACUGUCCGGACACAGAGACCCUAGCGGCCUUCGAGCAUAACAUCCGCGAAGAAUGGCUCGCCCGGCACCUGGGACAGGAAAAGCCGAAAUCCAUGGCAGCCCUCACGACACUCAUGACCCGCUUUUACGCGGGCGAAGACAGCUGGCUAGCUCGUAGCAACAACCUAUCAAAGAAGACUGCUAAUCCGGAUACCAAGGACAAAAGUGGCAGGUCAUGUCGAAACAAUCAAAAGCGCCACGUUAGCAGCGACAUCAAUGAGGAUACGGCAGUAAAUGCCGGAUUCAGAGGCUAUAAAUCCGGUCAGCAGAAACAGCCAUCUAAAAAGAAUAACCAGGGCCCGUCCAAUUUGGACAGAAUACUCGACCGCUCGUGCCAGAUUCACGGCACCCCCGAAAAUCCAGCCAAUCACACCAACAGAGAUUGUUGGGUGUUCAAGCAGGCAGGCAAGUUAAGAGCCGAACAUAAAAACAAGGGGCUGGACAACGAUGAUGAGCAGGAGCCCAGGCCGCUGAACAACAAAGGACAGAAGGGGUUUCCCCUGCAAGUGCGGAUGGUGAACAUGAUAUACGCGACCCACAUUCCCAAGAGGGAAAGGAAGCGUGCGCUACGGGACGUAUACGCGAUGGAGCCAGUCGCCCCAAAGUUCAACCCUUGGUCCUCUUGCCCGAUCACUUUCGAUCGAAGGGACCACCCCACUAGUAUCCGUCACGGCGGUUUUGCCGCAUUGGUCCUCGAUCCAAUCGUCGACAGAUUCCAUCUUACAAGAGUCCUCAUGGACGGCGGUGGCAGCCUGAACCUGCUUUACCAGGAUACAGUGCGGAAAAUGGGCAUAGAUCCAUCAAGGAUCAAGCCCACCAGGACGACCUUCAAAGGCGUCAUCCCAGGUGUAGAGGCCAAUUGUACAGGCUCCAUAACACUUGAUGUGGUCUUCGGAUCUCCGGAUAAUUUUCGAAGCGAAGAGUUAAUCUUCGACAUAGUCCCGUUCCGCAGUGGUUAUCACCCCCUACUCGGACGAACUGCAUUUGCUAAAUUCAAUGCGGUUCCGCACUACGCAUAUCUCAAGCUCAAGAUGCCAGGCCCUCGAGGAGUAAUUACGGUCAGCGGAAACACCGAACGCUCCAUCACUACGGAGUAGCACACGGUGGCCCUCGCAGCGGAAGUAAAAAGUAGCCUUUCAAGGCAACUCUCCAGUCCGGCCGUUAAAACGCCGGACAAUGCAAAGCGCGCCCGGAGUAACCUGCAACAAGACCACUUGGCACGAUCGGAUCAGGCGUAGCAAUACGGCCCCAACCCCAGCCAUCGCAGCAUCGCGGAGCUAGUACCUCGAGUACACAGUUAUGCCCUUAAAAUUCCAUGGGCAUAGGGGAAGGGGGCACUGUAACGGCAUGCCUACAAUACGGCUUUAAAACGUACUAGGGGCUGCCGGAUUUUUCCUUUUUUACUUUCAGGACUCCACAUUCUGGACAACAUGUUCGGCCUUGUUGCCGCAGAGACGAUACAAGGCCCAGGAGAGCAGACAAAGCUAUGCCGCACUACGAAACUCUCAGGUGGUCUCUAUUUUGAGCGAUAUAUCUGUUUCCAAAUUUCCGCGGCCUGCGCCUGUCCAGGACAUGUUAAAUAGUCUAGUAUUUUUUGCUUAUCGCACUACUUGUAACGGCCGGCUUCGAAUAGCCUCUUUAUAAACAAUGCAUAGCUUUAUGUCUAUUUUCUGCAUUACCCUCUUUGACUAUAUAUGUUUAUCCCAUAACAUGAUCGCACCCGUACACCAUGGUACGGCAAACCACGCCAGGGGCUUUAUUACCCUUUUAUCUAGACGUGAGAAGUCCGUACACUUUCACAAGUGCGGCACCCCAAACUUAUAGCACUAUAUGCAUCGGCUCCAAGUCAUGAUUUUGGUCAUAUGUUGGGUUUGCCCGGCUCCUAUGUUUUGGUACCUUACGUUCCGCUCUAUCGGCUAAGGUAGCACUAGGAGAACCGCUGCGAUUGUGCCCCAGGUCAUGUGGGUGAGCACCUCAGUGGAGAAAGCUAAAACAGACUGUCAUGAUAGGGCGUGAGACCGGUCACUGUUCGAGAGCUUUUUCAAGUCCUUAAAGGCUUAUGCCGCUUCGAGCGGAGAGCUGGUUAAAACCGGCUAAAGGCGUGGAUAGUGCCCCGAAUUCGGCCUUCCGAACUAGGGGCUUAGCCGAAAUUUAAAAUUAUAAAGUUCUAUGGCUAAGUGAGAGUGUUCAAGCAUUAUAGUCCGGUUGCCUGGUUCGUUGUGCUGAGGGCCUCCCUCGAAGGACCCAACUAUGGGAAAAAGAGCCCUCAGGUUUAUCCCGAACACCCCAGCUGCAUGGGGGCAGAAGUCGACGACUCGCCAUCUCUCAAUUACUGAUAAACGGCCGCACAGAAAAUAAUAUUUUAAAUUCAAAGCAUUGCUUAAAGCGCAUAUGAACAAGUUUUCAGCGCACAGGAUACAAACGAACGAGUUCAUUGAAAUAUUACAUCCUUAGCACAUUCAUCCGCAAUAAGGCGGGCUCCGGCAAGAACUUGCUCAUAAUAGUUCUCGGGCUUGCGAUGUUCCUUCCCUGGCGGCGGCCCGUCCUUCACCAGCUUCUCGCCGUUCAGCUUACCCCAGUGUACCCUCACACGAGCAAGGGCCCUCCGGGCACCUUCAAUGCAGGCAGAGCGCUUGAUGACCUCAAGCCGUGGAAAGGCCUCCACCAGCCGCCGCACCAGCGCAAAGUAGCUCCCAGGCAGGGCCUCCCCAAGCCACAGCCGAACUAGGAGGCCCUUCAUGGCCUGUUCGGCCGCCUUGUGGAGCUCGACCAGCUGCUUCAGCUGAUCACUCAAGGGCACAGGGUGUCCGGCCUCAGAAUACUGAGACCAGAACACACUCUCCGCUGAGCUGCCUUCUUCAGCUCGGUAGAACGCGGCGGCGUCGGAUGCGCUGCGGGGAAGAUCGACAAACACCCCUGGAGAACUCCGGAUUCGGGUAAGAAACAGGUAUUUUAUUUUUUAUAUUUCUACUUCGCAUUAAGAAUGCCUUACCCGCUGCUAUCUUUUUCACAUCCUCCAACUCUUGGAGGGCCUUCUGGGCUUCGGCCUUGGCACUCUUGGUGGCCUGAACGGCAGAGGCGAGUUCGAUGGCUUGCGUUUUCACGUCAAGCUCCAAACCCUCAUGUUUUUCCUUGAGGGCUUGCAGCUUCUGCUGCACCUCGCCGCAUUGGAUCCCAAGCUUUUCUCGUUCGGUGCGCUCCACGGCCGUCUUCUUUUCGGCCUCAGCAAGCGCCUGCCUCAGGGUUGCCACCUCCGUCGCGGCCCCUACAUCAGGCAGUGUAUUCCUGUUAUUUUCUACAAUCAAGCCUCUCCAUGGGCACAUUUUUAUUAUUAAGGGUCUUUCUUACCUUCCUCCUCCUCGAGCUGCCCUCUGGCAAGACCGAGCUCUCGCUCGGACCGCUCAAGGUCCUUUUUCAGGACAUCCACCUGCACAGUUAAUGCGGCGGUGGACAGCAGCGAAGCCUGCAUACGCAUAUUUGACUUCUUGUUAGUCUCCUGCGAUAAUUAUUAGAUCCUCUAUUCGGCCUUUCUUUCCGAACACCGAACAGAGCAUCAGGGGCUACUGUCUAUGCGGCAAUGAAUUUAGCAUUUUAUUUGCUUACCUGAAAGCCUGUUAGAAGGCUAGCGCAAGCCUCAUUCAGUCCGCUCUUGGCGGACUGAACCCUUCGGACCACCGUACUCAUAACAGUACGGUGCUCCUCGUCAAUGGUGGCGCCUUCAAGCGCCUCCAGCAAGUUGUCCGACUCCUCUGGUUGGGCAGAGGUCGCCGGCUCAGACGGCUUGCUCCUCUUGGAAGGAGUUUGCCUACCGCGGGCCAGGACUGUUGAGUCCGGCGCGGUGACCGACACAAAGCCGGACUUGGUGCCCUGGGGGGACUUGUCCCCUCCACUCCUGGUGUCCGGGAGGUUGCCUUGCGGCUCCUCCAGGACUACCUCCUCCUGCCCAGGAGUUUGGCGGGACGCCACGUCGGCGUCGUCUGCCCGGCAGGGGGAGACGGCAGGCGGAACAGAGUUCACGUCCGACGAACCCAAGGAACCACUCGACGAAUCGUCGAGUCUUGCCCGGGGCGGCCUGCACAAUUACAUUCAACAUAAGGGAAAGCUGUGCAAAUAAAAAAAUAUCAUGAGUUACUCUGGUAUCCGAAUACCUACGACUUCGCCGGACGCUUGGUCCUUUCCGGCCACUCCUCCUCGUCCUCGUUGGAGUCAGGGGAGUAGUCCGGCGGAGGGGUCUUCCUCUUGUUGGACCCCUUAGCCACCCCCGCUGGGGCGGCCUUCCUCUUCUUUCCUUCCCCCGUUGGAGGGGGAGGGAUUUCUUCUUCCUCCUCCUCGCUUUCACGAGGGGAGGGCGUCGCAGACUCGCCAGAUGAUGAGUCUGAUAGCACCACGUUGCGGGCACUCUUUCGAGUCCCGGUGGUCUUCUUCUUCUUGGCCUUCUUGUCCGGCACCACAUAAGGUGCCGGAGCCAGCAGCUUCUCUAGAAGAGCUGGGGCUUGGUCUUCGGGCAGAGGAGCCGGACAGUUGAUUGGUCCGGCUAUCUUCAGCCACUUCUGUCAAAGAUAAGAGGGAGUUUUUCGAUCCCACACAGAGUUAAUCUGUGAAGAAAGGCUUGAUAAAACCUGUCAAAGGUACGGAUAGCUUACCUCGCUGGCAUCGCGCCGGAGCUGUAUCCGCGAUCCUCGGAAGCGGAUGCGGGGGACUCAACGCUUUUGGUCAGCACCUUCCAGACGUCUUCAUACGUCGUGUCGAAGAGCCUACUAAGGGUUUGGUGCCGCGCCGAGUCGAAUUCCCACAAAGUGAAAUCCCGUUGUUGGCACGGGAGGAUCCGGCGGACGAGCUUAACCUGGAUUACAUUCACAAGCUUGAUUGGCUUGUUCACCAGGGACCGGAUGCAUGUCUGCAGUCCGGUCACUUCUCCCUCGUUACCCCACGACAGGCCCGUCUCUUUCCAGGACAUAAGCCGCGUGGGGGUCCGGAUCUGAACUCGGGGGCUGCGAUCCAUUCCGGAUCGCGUGGCUCGGUGAUGUAAAACCACCCGGCUUGCCACCCCUUUAGGGUCUCCACAAAGGAGCCCUCGAACCAGAGGACGUUGGCCAUCUUGCCGGCCAUAGCGCCUCCGCACUCCGCCUGGGUGCCGGACACCACCUUGGGCUUGACGUUGAAAGUCUUGAGCCAGAGGCCGAAGUGGGGGCGGACGCGGAGAAAUGCCUCACACACGACGAUAAACGCCGAGAUGUUGAGGAUAAAGUUCGGGGCCAGAUCGUGGAAAUCCAGCCCGUAAUAGAACAUGAGCCCCCGGACAAAAGGAUGGAGCGAAAAGCCCAGUCCGCGGAGGAAAUGGGGAAGGAAAACUACCCUCUCAUCAGGCCUAGGGGUAGGAAGAAGUUGCCCUGCCUCGGGAAGCCGGUGCGGGAUGUCCUUGGACAGGUAUCCGGCCUCCCUAAGCUUUUUGAUUUGGCUCUCCGUAACGGAGGAAACCAUCCACUUGCCUCCCGCUCCGGACAUUGCUGGAGAAGGUCGAGGUGGGGAGCGCGAGCUUGGGCGCUGGAGCUCGAGAGUGCAAGAGAUGGAUAGGCAGAGGAGGAAGAAGGCGUAAGUAAAUAGGUGGAUCCUUAUCCCCUUAUGUGGCGGAUGCGGUUAUGCGUCCCCACUUGCCUAAUAAAACUCGCUUGCCUCUCAAACGCCGUGGUAAAAUGGCACGUUUGGGUUACCCACGCCUGUAUUAAUGAGAAUCCCGUUGAAAGGGGCGCACGAUCUCUGCUUCGAUAAGACGUGCCAAGGAAACCGCCUCGUUGAACGUAUAGCGGUGGAACAGUAAAAUAUUCCAUACAGAAGGCUUGGCCGCAGUGUUAUGAUGCACCGUGGGAUACGUCAGCAGAUUUGAUUUGUGUUAAUAUUAUUCUCUAUAUGGCAAUACGUGGAAACUUAUUUUGCAGAGCCGGACACUUUUUUUGGUGUUAUUCAUCUUCUUGAAGAACUUGGAGGAGGAACCCGCCUUGCAAUGCCGAAGACAUUUUGCGCGCCGGACUCAUCGUCAUUGAAGCCAGGUUCAGGGGCUACUGAGGGAGUCCCGGAUUAGGAGUUGUUUGGAUAGCCGGACUAUACCUCCCGCCGGACUCCAGGACUAUGAAGAUACAAGAUUGAAGACUUCGUCCCGUGUCCGGAAGGUUCUUUCCUUGGCGUAGAAGGCAAGCUAAGCGUGCGGAUAUUCGCGAUCUCCUACCAAUGUAACCGACUCUGUGUAACCCUAACCCUAUCCGGUGUCUAUAUAAACCGGAGGGUUGUAGUCCGUAGGCCAACUUCAUCAUAGAACCAUCUUCAUACACAAUCAUACCGUAGGCUAGCUUCUAGGGUUUAGCCUCCUUGAUCUCGUGGUAGAUCUACUCUUGUACUACCCAUAUCAUCAAUAUUAAUCUAGCAGGAGUAGGGUUUUACCUCCAUCGAGAGGGCCCGAACCUGGGUAAAUUAAGGUGUCCCUUGUCUCCUGUUACCAUCCGACCUUGACGCACAGUUCGGGACCCCCUACCCGAGAUCCGCCGGUUUUGACACCGACAGCAGCCGGCCAACACGGCCGGCGAACGAACCCUAGGUACGGGCGGCGCGGCCCCCGGCGGCGGUCAUGGAGGCCGACCGCCCCGGGGGCGGCACAGGGGUGCGGAAGCAGCGGCGGCUAGGGUUUGGAUCGUGAUUAGGCUGAUACCAUGUUUAGAAGGAAGAGAGGGAUUUGGUGGAAUAGUUCGUUGUAUUGCUUGAGCCUCGNNNNNNNNNNNNNNNNNNNNNNNNNNNNNNNNNNNNNNNNNNNNNNNNNNNNNNNNNNNNNNNNNNNNNNNNNNNNNNNNNNNNNNNNNNNNNNNNNNNNNNNNNNNNNNNNNNNNNNNNNNNNNNNNNNNNNNNNNNNNNNNNNNNNNNNNNNNNNNNNNNNNNNNNNNNNNNNNNNNNNNNNNNNNNNNNNNNNNNNNNNNNNNNNNNNNNNNNNNNNNNNNNNNNNNNNNNNNNNNNNNNNNNNNNNNNNNNNNNNNNNNNNNNNNNNNNNNNNNNNNNNNNNNNNNNNNNNNNNNNNNNNNNNNNNNNNNNNNNNNNNNNNNNNNNNNNNNNNNNNNNNNNNNNNNNNNNNNNNNNNNNNNNNNNNNNNNNNNNNNNNNNNNNNNNNNNNNNNNNNNNNNNNNNNNNNNNNNNNNNNNNNNNNNNNNNNNNNNNNNNNNNNNNNNNNNNNNNNNNNNNNNNNNNNGGCACCUUUCAUGACGGCUCAUUGAUCCACAUCAUCAAAAUUAAUUAAACCAUUAGAUUAUAAAAUUUACGAUCAGGAUAAAAGGAAAACUAACGUAACACAGAUGAUGUCGUCUAAUAGAAAAAUGCCUCUGUCACGUCCAAGUCCAACGUUAGUUAAAAACAGCCUCAUGUACAAAAUAUAAGGAAAGCCUCACGCGAUCCUAAAAAAAAGCAAGCCUCUCGUAGAAAAAGAAGUCCUAUGGGAAGACGCAUCUAAUACGUCCACGUCCAAUCUUAGUGAAAAAAAAACAAAGCAAGCCUCAUGUACAAGAUAAACGAAAGCCUCACGUAAAAUACAAGGAAAGCCUCUAGCAGUUCCCACAAAUUAAAAAGAAAUCUUUUUUAAAAAAUUACAUGACCUCCCAUUAAUCCACAACAUCAAAAUUAAUUAAUUUGCGUACAAAAAUCAAAAAUAGUUAAUCCGUUCAAUUCUAAAAUUUACGAUCAGUAUAGAAGGAAAUAUCGUGUAGCGUAGAUUAUCACGUCCGGUAGAAAAAUACAUCUGACACGUCCAUUGCAACGUUAGUGAAAAAAAGUACCACGUAAAAACAAAAAGGAAAGAAAAUCCCGACGAUUAAAAAACAGUAAGCCUUUACCUGUUCCCACAAACUAAGGAGGAAAGCCCCGAUAAAAACUCCAGUGAUAAAAGGUCAAAAGAAAAUCCACAAUGUGCCUGAUUGCCUGGAAAAAUAAAAAUAAGCCUCCAUCUUUUUUUUUUGCGAGGAAAAAUAAACCUUCAUCAAUCAAAUAUUUUUCUGUAGACUCCUCUAUAUGGUCGCUACCUCGUUCUCUCCUUCGGAUCUGCUCUCCUACCAUUGGCCGGAGUUGCAUGGAGGCGGUCGAGAUUGGCGUCUAGAUGACACCGGCUGUGCAAGGCAAGGAAAUACUUGCAUCGAGUCAAAAUUCAAGACUAAUUGAUAUAAUACAUGAGAUGAAGAGCCAGGAAGUCGGAUUACAAGUAAGUUAGAUUUUUUUUCAUUAAUUGAUUUUAAGGAAUAAAAUUAUUGUUGUGAAAUCACAAAAUCAGACUAUAGUUUAGAUUUCUUGGAUUGGACAUGUUGGCCCACUUAAUUUAUGAAUUACUUUUCAUUGGUGGAAUUUGGUUUGUGCAGAUAAAGCACAUGGGGCUGCCGAUCAGUGUCCACAGUAAUGAGUAGUACAUCACAUCAUUCUUCUGCUAUAUACUCUGUAGUAAUACUAUUUUAUGGGCUAACUACAUAAUAGCAAAUGUAAGAGACGACAUUCUAAAUAUAAAAAAUAUCCAUUAUAUUGGAAAACAAAAGAUAUCCCUGUGAUCGAACAAAAUUUUAAUCGAUCUUCCACCUCCAUAAGUACUUUUUUUAAAUUUAAAUCCAGUUAGAGUUUUUGCUACAUCGUAUUGUUCCUAAUAAAUGAUUUGAACAUGGGAGGUCAUAGCCAUAUUUGCACACUCCAAGACAACGAGCUUUAUAUAGAAAAUUCUUUAAUCUUUUAGAUAUGCCCUCUAAACAGACAGGGAAUGAGUAUCAAUAUUAAAAGUGCUAGUCCGUGCAGAUGCACAGGUUGAUGACUAGCGAGUACAAUCAUCUACUUGAAGUACAACACAAGCUAGAACAAAUCCUAGUCAAUCUCGUCUUUUGUAAUAAACAUUAUACUCAACAGUAAGAAACAUAAAAAGGGACCGGCCUGUCAGCCUGGGUAGCCAUGUUGCAUCCCCAACUCGUUCGUCGUCUACCACCAGCGAUGGCCCUACCGCAUGCACUAGCUCACCACACUCCCCUCCUAACCUGCCAGCAUCAUUUCUAAUCUCACAACUUGUGAACCCUUGCAAGUGGCAGAUGUCUAACAAUCUUUCUUCACUUGCAAACAUCCAUUCCAGACUUCCAGUAGUUAACACACCAAAUUGUGAGUUCCUGUGCAGGUGCGAAGAUGAGGAACUGGCAAGGCUUGAGAAGAAGCUCGACAGGAUCGAGCGCAUAUGCAAUGUUGUCACCUUGAUUUGCAUCCCGGUGAUAGUCGUGCGGAGGGGAUCCUUAACGUCAUGUCGUAGGGGCAGGCCGGUAUCAGCUUUGGUUUCUUAGCAAUUUAAUGAUGCUUCAAGCCCUCAUGCUUUUAUGUUUGCGAGACUAUCAUGCUGUGUUGGCUCCGUGUAACCUCAGUAGACCUAUGAGGGAGUCCUGGGUUAGGGGGUGUUCGGGUAGCCGAACUAUACCUUCGCCGGACUCCAGGACCAUGAAGAUACAAGAUUGAAGACUUCGUCCCGUGUCUGGAUGAGACCUUCCUUGGCAUGGAAGGCAAGCUUGGCGAUGCGGAUAUUCAAGAUCUCCUACCAUUGUAACCGACUCUGUGUAACCCUAACCCUAUCCGGUGUCUAUAUAAACCGGAUGGUUCUAGUCCGUAGGACAACUUCAUCAUACACAAUCAUACCAUAGGCUAGUUUCUAGGGUUUAGCCUCCUUAAUCUCGUGGUAGAUCUACUCUUGUACUACCCAUAUCAUCAAUAUUAAUCAAGCAGGAGUAGGGUUUUACCUCCAUCGAGAGGGCCCGAACCUGGGUAAAACAAAGUGUCCCUUGUCUCCUGUUACCAUCCGACCUUGACGCACAGUUCGGUACCCCCUACCCGAGAUCCGCCGGUUUUGACACCGACAUUGGUGCUUUCAUUGAGAGUUCCUCUGUGUCGUCGCCUUUAGGCCCGAUGGCUCCUUUGAUCAUCAACAACGACGAGGUCCAGGGUGAGACUUUUCUCACCGGACAGAUCUUCGUCUUCGGCGGCUUCGCUCUGCGGGCCAAUUCGCUUGGUCAUCUAGAGCAGAUCGAAAGCUACGCCCCUGGCCAUCAAGUCAGGUUUGGAAGCUUGAUCUUCGACGGGUUCGAGCCACAGCCAAGCGCGCUGCACUAUCUCGAGGGGCACGAUCUAGCUAUGCCUCCGAAAAGUGUCCUGGAGGCCGCACACGCACCGGUUUCGACUCUUGACUCGGAGCCUACUGCGCUAAUUGGGGAUGAAUGGUUUGACGUCACCUCGGGGGAUGCGAUCGCAAAGGCGAUCGAGCCGAACGCUAGCCCCACACUCCGCACGGCCCAUGACUCUGAGGAGCCGGAUUCUUCUCCAAACUCCGAGCCUCCCGCGCCCCCGCCAGUCGAAGCCGAUUGGGCGCCGAUAAUGGAGUUCACCGCCGCGGACAUCUUUCAGCACUCACCUUUUGGUGAUAUCCUGAAUUCUCUCAAGUCUCUCUCUUUAUUAGGAGAGCCCUGGCCGUAUUACGGUCUGCGAGGAUGGGAUACGGACGAUGAAGAAAUUCAAAGCCCUCCCACCACCCACUUGGUAGCCACUGUCGACGAUUUAACCGACAUGCUUGACUUCGGAUCCGAAGAGUUCGACGGUAUGGACGACGAGGUAGGAGAUGAACAGAAACCAGCACCUGUAGGGCGCUGGACGGCCACCUCGUCAUAUGACGUAUACAUGGUGGAUACUCCAAAGGAUGGAGAUGGCGAUGGAACAGCGAGGGAUGACACCUCCAAUAAACAACCAAAGCGCCGGCGUCAGCGGCGCUGCUCUAAAUCCCGCCAAAGCAAAAAUGAUGAUUCCGGCUCGGGAGAUAAUACUACCCCGGAUAGCGCCGAAGAACACCCAACCCAGCAAGAUUCAGCGCAGGAAGAUGGAGAAGCCAGCCCUCAUGAGAGAGCGGCAGAACAAGAGGUUGAGGAUGAUAACUAUAUGCCUCCCUCCGAAGACGAGGCAAGCCUCGAUGACGACGACUUCAUCGUACCAUCAGACCCCGCCGAAGAAGAGUGUUUCAAACGCAGGCUUUUAGCCACGGUGAACAGCCUAUAGAAAAAGCAGCAACAGCUUAGAGCUGAUCAAGAUUUGCUAGCUGACAGAUGGACUGAAGUCCUUGCGGCCGAAGAGUACGAACUUGAGCGCCCCUCCAAGAAUUAUCCUAAGCGCAGGCCGCUACCCCGAUCAGAGGAGGAAGCGCCUACAUCACCAGCGCACGACAUGGCGGACCAGCCACCUCGCGGUCGUGACAGAGAGGCCUGUCGAACCUCCACCCAAGCCAUGCCCCGACGCCGCUCAACCAAGGCACGGGAAAAUGCGCCAGACCUGUGAGAUGUACUGGAGGAUAAAGCAAGGCAAACAAGAUCGAUCUACGGAUCGCGCAGGCACCCGACAGCACGUGACGAUGAUCUUCACUCCGGACACAAUAAAUCCGGCCGGGCCGAACACAACAGACAUAGCUCUUCCGAGCUGCGUCGUGACAUAGCCCAAUACAGGGGUGCCGCACACCCACUAUGCUUCACAGAUGAAGUAAUGGAUCAUAAAAUCCCAGAGGGUUUCAAACUCGUAAACAUCGAAUCGUACGAUGGCACGACAGAUCCGGCGGUAUGGAUCGAGGAUUAUCUCCUUCACAUCCACAUGGCACGUGGCGAUGAUCUACACGCCAUCAAAUACCUCCCUAUCAAACUGAAAGGACCGGCCCGGCACUGGCUUAAUAGCCUGCCAGCGGACUCAAUCGGUUCUUGGGAGGACAUGGAAGCCGCAUUCCUCGACAACUUCCAGGGCACUUAUGUGCGACCACCGGACGCCGACGACCUAAGCCACAUAAUUCAGCAGCCAGAGGAAUCGGCCAGGCAAUUCUGGACACGGUUCCUAACAAAGAAAAACCAGAUCGUCGACUGUCCGGACCCAGAGGCCCUAGCGGCCUUCAAGCAUAACAUCCGCGACGAGUGGCUUGCCCGGCACCUGGGACAGGAAAAGCCGAAAUCUAUGGCAGCCCUCACGACACUCAUGACCCGCUUUUGCGCGGGCGAAGAUAGCUGGCUAGCUCACAGCAACAACUUAUCAAAGAACCUUGGUAAUUCGGAUACCAAGGACAAGAGUGGCAGGACACGUCGAAAUAAGCAAAAGCGCUGUGUUAGCAGCGACAGCAAUGAAGAUACGGCAGUAAAUGCCGGAUUCAGAGGCUAUAAAUCUGGUCAGCGGAAAAAGCCAUUUAAAAAGAAUACUCAGGGCCUGUCCAGUUUGGACCGAAUACUCGACCGCUUGUGCCAGAUCCAUGGCACCCCCGAAAGGCCAGCCAAUCACACCAACAGGGAUUGUUGGGUGUUUAAGCAGGCAGGCAAGUUGAGAGCCAAAAACAAAGACAAGGGGCUGCAUAGCGAUGACGAGGAGGAGCCCAGGCCGCCGAACAACAAUGGACAGAAGGGGUUUCCCCCACCAGUGCGGACGGUGAACAUGAUAUACGCAACCCACAUUCCCAAGAAGGAGCGGAAGCGUGCGCUACGGGACGUAUACGCGAUGGAGCCAGUCGCCCCAAAGUUCAACCCAUGGUCCUCUUGCCUGAUCACUUUUGAUCGAAGGGACCACCCCACUAGCAUCCGUCAUGGCGGCUUUGCCGCAUUGGUUCUCGACCCAAUCAUCGACGGAUUUCAUCUCACAGGAGUCCUCAUGGACGGCGGCAGUAGCCUGAACCUGCUUUAUCAGGAUAAAGUGCGGAAAAUGGGCAUAGAUCCAUCAAGGAUUAAGCCCACAAGGACGACCUUUAAAGGCGUUAUACCAGGUGUAGAAGCCAACUGUACAGGCUCCGUAACACUUGAUGUGGUCUUCGGAUCUCCGGAUAACUUCCGAAGCGAAGAGUUAAUCUUCGACAUAGUCCCGUUCCGCAGUGGCUAUCACGCCCUGCUCGGACGAACCGCAUUUGCCAAAUUCAAUGCGGUGCCGCACUACGCAUACCUCAAGCUCAAGAUGCCAGACCCUCGAGGAGUAAUCACGGUCAACGGAAACACCGAACGGUCCCUCCGUACGGAGGAGCACACGGCGUCUCUCGCAGCGGAAGUACAAAGCAGUCUUUUUAGGCAACUCUCCAGUACGGCCGUUAAAAAGCCAGACAAGGCCAAGCGCGCCCGGAGUAACCUACAACAAGACCGCCUGCCACGUUCUGAGCAGGCGUAGCAAUGCGGCCCCAACCCCAGCCAUCGCGACAUAGCGGAGCUAGUACCUCGCGUACAUAAUUACGCCCUUGAAAUUCCAUGGGCACAGGGGAAGGGGCACGCAUGCUCACAAUACGGCUUAAAACGUACUAGGGGCUGCCAGAUUCUUUUUAUUAGUUCCAGGACUCCACACUUUGGACGACAUGUUCGGCUAUUCGGCUGCCGCACAAACGAUGCAAUAUUCAGGGAAGUAGACAAAGCUAUGCCGCAUUAUGGAACUCUCAAGUGGUCUCUAUUUAGAGCGGUAUAUCUAUUUCAAACACAAUUCCGUGGCCUGCCCCUGGUCAGGACAUGUUAAAUAGUCUAAUAUCUUUUUCCUUAUUGCACUACUUGUAUCGUUCAGCUUUGGUAAAUAGCCUCUUUAUAAACAAUGCAUAGCUUUUUAUCUAUUUUUUGCAUUGUUCUCUUUUAAUAUAUAUGUUUAUCAAAUAACAUGAUCGCACCCGUACACCAUGGUACGGCAAACACGCCAGGGGCUUCAUUACCCUUCGAUCUGGUGUGAGAAGUCCGUACACUUUCACAAGUGCGGCACCCCGAACUUAUAGCACUAUAUGCAUCGGCUCCGAAUCAUGAUUUGGGUCAAUAGUUGGGUUUGCCCGGCUCCUAUGUUUUGGUGCCUUAUGUUCCUCUAUAUCGGCUAAGGUAGCACUAGGAGAACCACUGCGAUUGUGCCCCGGUUCAGCUGGGUUAAGCACCUCAGUGGAGAAAGCUAAAACUGACUGUCAUGAUAAGGCAAGAGACCGGUCGCUGUUCGAGAGGUUUUUCGAGUCCCUAAAGACUUAUGCCGCUUCGAGCGAGGAGCUGGCUCUGUCCAGCCAAAGGCGUGGAUAGCGCCCCGAAUUCGGUCUUCCGAACUAGGGGCUUCGCCGAAAUUUAAAAUUAUAAAGUUCUAUGGCUAAGUGAGAGUGUUCAAGCAUUAUAGUUCGAUUGCCUGGUUCAUUGUGCUGAGCGCCUCCCUCAAAGGACCCAACCAUGGGAAAAAAGAGCGCUCAGGUUUAUCCCUAACACCCCAGCACUAGCGGCAUGGGGGCAGAAGCCGACGACUGGCCAUCUCUCAAUUUUUGAUAAACGGCCGCACAGAAAAUAAUAUUUUAAAUUCCAUAAGUAUUGCUUAGCGCAUAUGAACAAGUUUUCAGCGCACAGGAUAAACACGAGCGAGUUCAUUCAAAUAUUACAUCCUUAGUACAUUCAUCCGCAAUAAGGCGGGCACCGGCAAUAACAUCCUUGUAGUAGUUCUCGGGCUUGCGAUGCUCCUUCCCCUGCGGCGGCCCGUCCUUCACUAGCUUCUCUCCGUCAAGCUUACCCCAGUGCACCAUUACACGGGCAAGGGCCCUGUCACGACCGGUUUUCCAAUAAAAAUAUUUAUUAAGAAACUGAUCUGUUGAGUCCAGUAUGAGGAAAACCCAUCAUACUGGUGGACAAUAACUUGAUACAAAUAGCCAGUAGCAUGAAUAUAUUGAAGGAAAUAUGCCCUAGAGGCAAUAAUAAAGUUAUUAUUUAUUUCCUUAUAUCAUGAUAAAUGUUUAUUAUUCAUGCUAGAAUUGUAUUAACCGGAAACAUAAUACAUGUGUGAAUACAUAGACAAACAGAGUGUCACUAGUAUGCCUCUACUUGACUAGCUCGUUAAUUAAAGAUGGUUAUGUUUCCUAACCAUGAACAAAGAGUUGUUAUUUGAUUAACGGGAUCACAUCAUUAGUUGAAUGAUCUGAUUGACAUGACCCAUUCCAUUAGCUUAGCACCCGAUCGUUUAGUAUGUUGCUAUUGCUUUUAUCCAUGACUUAUACAUGUUCCUUUGACUAUGAGAUUAUGCAACUCCCGUUUACCAUAGGAACACUUUGUGUGCUACCAAUCGUCACAACAUAACUGGGUGAUUAUAAAGGUGCUCUACAAGUGUCUCCGAAAGUAUUUGUUGGGUUGGCAUAUUUCGAGAUUAGGAUUUGUCACUCCGAAUGUCGGAGAGGUAUCUCAGGGCCUUCUCGGUAAUGCACAUCACAUAAGCCUUCCAAGCAUUGCAACCAAUGAGUUAGUUGCGAGAUGAUGUAUUACGGAACGAGUAAAGAGACUUGCCAGUAACGAGAUUGAACUAGGUAUUGGAUACCGACGAUCGAAUCUCGGGCAAGUAACAUACCGAUGACAAAGGGAACGACGUAUGUUGUUAUGCGGUCUGACCGAUAAAGAUCUUCGCAGAAUAUGUAGGAGCCAAUAUGGGCAUCCAGGUCCCGCUAUUGGUUAUUGACCGGAGACGUGUCUCGGUCAUGUCUACAUUGUUCUCGAACCGUAGGGUCGGCACGCUUAAGGUUACGAUGACAGUUAUUAUGAGUUUUGAUGUACCGAAGGAGUUCGGAGUCCCGGAUGAGAUCGGGGACAUGACGAGGAGUCUCGAAAUGGUCGAGACGUAAAGAUCGAUAUAUUGGACGACUAUAUUCGGAGUUCGGAAAGGUUCCGAGUGAUUCGGGUAUUUUUCGGAGUACCGGGGAGUUACGGGAAUACGGGGGAGAAGUAUUGGGCCUUAUUGGGCCAUACGGGAAAGAGAGAGGGGCUGCCUAGGGCAGGCCGCGCGCCCCUCCAAGGCCUAGUCCGAAUUGGACUAGGGGGAGGGGCCGCGCCCCCUCCUUCCUUCCCUUCUCUUUUCCUCUUCCUUGUCUCCUACUCCUAAUACAUGGAAGGUCUCCUAGUUGGACUAGGAAAAGGGGAAUCCUACUCCCAGUGGGAGUAGGACUCCCCAGGGCGCGCCAUAGAGAGGGCCGGCCCUCCCCUCCUCCACUCCUUUAUAUAUGGGGGCAGGGGGCACCCCAUAGACACACAAGUUGAUCCUUGAGAUCGUCCCUUAGCCGUGUGCGGUGCCCCCCUCCACCAUAUUCCACCUCGGUAGUAUUGUCGCAGUGCUUAGGCGAAGCCCUGCGUCGGUAGUUCAUCAAGAUCGUCACCACGUCGUCGUGCUGACGGAACUCAUCCCCGGAGGUUUUGCUGGAUCGGAACACCGGGGACGUCAUCGAGCUGUACGUGUGUCCAGAACUCGGAGGCAUCAGAGUAACGGUGCUGGGAUCGGUUGGAUCGCGUGGAGAACGUAUGACUACUUCCACUACGCUGUGUCAAUGCUUCCGCUUCGGUCUACAAGGGUACGUAGACAACACUCUCCCCUCUCGUUGCUAUGCAUCACCAUGAUCUUGCGUGUGCGUAGGAAUUUUUUUGAAAUUACUACGUUCCCCAACAGUGGUAUCAGAGCCUAGGUUUUUAUGCUUAGAUGUUAUGCAUGAGUAGAACACAAGUGAGUUGCGGACGAUACAAGUCAUACUGCCUACCAGCAUGUCAUACUUUGGUUCAGCGGUAUUGUUGGAUGAAGCGGGCCGGACCGACAUUACGCGUACGUUUACGCGAGACUGGUUCUACCGACGUGCUUUGCACACAGGUGGCUGGCGGGUGUCAGUUUCUCCAACUUUAGUUGAACCGAGUGUGGCUACGCCCGGUCCUUGAGAAGGUUAAAACGGAGUCUAUUUGAAGAAGUAUCGUUGUGGUUUUGAUGCGUAGGUGAGAUUGGUUCUUGCUUCAGCCCGUAGCAGCCACGUAAAAUUUGCAACAAAGUAGAGGACGUCUAACUUGUUUUUGCAGGGCAUGUUGUGAUGUGAUAUGGUUAAGACAUGAUGCUAUAUUUUAUUGUAUGAGAUGAUCAUGUUUUGUAACCGAGUUAUCGGCAACCGGCAGGAGCCGUAUGGUUGUCGCUUUAUUGUAUGCAAUGCAAUCGCCCUGUAAUGCUUUACUUUAUGACUAAGCGGUAGCGAUAGUCGUAGAAGCAUAAGAUUGGCGAGACGACAAUGACGCUACGAUGGAGAUCAAGGUGUCGCGCCGGUGACGAUGGUGAUCAUGGUGGUGCUGCAGAGAUGGAGAUCACGAAGCACAAGAUGAUGAUGACCAUAUCAUAUCACUUAUAUUGAUUUGCAUGUGAUGUUUAUCUGUUAUGCAUCUUAUCUUGCUUUGAUUGACGGUAGCAUUAUAAGAUGCUCUCACUAAAUUAUCAAGAAGUGUUCUCCCUGAGUAUGCACCGUUGCCAAAGUUCGUCGUGCUCAGACACCACGUGAUGAUCGGGUGUGAUAAGCUCUACGUCCAUCUACAACGGGUGCAAGCCAGUUUUGCACACGCGGAAUACUCGGGUUAUACUUGACGAGCCUAGCAUAUGCAGAUAUGGCCUCGGAACACGGAGACCGAAAGGUCGAGCGUGAAUCAUAUAGUAGAUAUGAUCAACAUGAUGAUGUUCACCAUUGAGAACUAAUCCAUUUCAUGUGAUGAUCGGUUAUGGUUCAGUUUGAUUUGGAUCACGUGAUCACUUAGAGGAUUCGAGGGAUGUCUAUCUAAGUGGGAGUUCUUAAGUAAUAUGAUUAAUUGAACUUUAAUUUAUCAUGAACUUAGUCCUGGUAGUAUUUUGCAAAUUAUGUUGUAGAUCAAUAGCUCGCGUGGUUGCUUCCCUGUGUUUAUUUUGAUAUGUUCCUAGAGAAAAUUAUGUUGAAAGAUGUUAGCAGGAAUGUUGCGGAUUGGAUCCGUGAUCUGAGGUUUAUACUCAUUGCUGCACAGAAGAAUUAUGUCCUUGAUGCACCGCUAGGUGACAGACCUAUUGCAGGAGUAGAUACAGACGUUAUGAACGUUUGGCUAGCUCAAUUUGAUGACUACUUAAUAGUUUAGUGCACCAUGCUUAACGGCUUAGAAUCGGGACUUCGAAGACGUUUUGAACGUCAUGGACCAUAUGAGAUGUUCCAGGAGUUGAAGUUAAUAUUUCAAGCAAAUACCCGAGUUGAGAGAUAUGAAGUCUCCAACAAGUUCUAUAGCUAAAAGAUGGAGGAGAAUCGCUCAACUAGUGAGCAUGUGCUUAGAUUGUCUGAGUACUACAAUCGCUUGAAUCAAGUGGGAGUUAAUCUUCCAGAUAAGAUAGUGAUUGACAGAAUUCUCUAGUCACCAUCACCAAGUUAGUAGAACUUCGUGAUGAACUAUAAUAUGCAAGGGAUAACGGAAACGAUUCCCAAGCUCUUCGUGAUGCUGAAAUCGACGAAGGUAGAAAUCAAGAAAAACAUCAAGUGUUGAUGGUUAACAAGACCACUAGUUUCAAGAAAAGGGCAAAGGGAAGAAGGGGAACUUCAAGAAGAACGGCAAGCAAGUUGCUGCUCAAGUGAAGAAGCCCAAGUCUGGUCCUAAGCCUGAGACUAAGUGCUUCUACUGCAAAGGGACUGGUCACUGGAAGCGGAACUACCCCAAGUAUUUGGCGGAUAAGAAGGAUGGCAAAGUGAACAAAGGUAUAUUGGAUAUACAGAUUAUUGAUGUGUAUUUUACUAGUGUUCGUAGCAACCCCUCGGUAUUUGAUAUUGGUUCAGUUGCUAAGAGUAGUAACUCGAAACGGGAGUUGCAGAAUGAACAGAGACUAGUUAAGAGUGAAGUGACGAUGUGUGUUGGAAGUAGUUCCAAGGUUGAUAUGAUCAUCAUCGCACUCUCCCUAUACUUUCGGGAUUAGUGUUGAAACUAAAUAAGUGUUAUUUGGUGUCUGCGUUGAGCAUAAAUAUGAUUUGAUCAUGUUUAUUGCAAUACGGUUAUUCAUUUAAGUUAGAGAACAAUUGUUGUUCUGUUUACAUGAAUAAAACCUUCUAUGGUCAUACACACCAACAAAAUGGUUUGUUGGAUCUCGAUCGUAGUGAUACACAUAUUCAUAAUAUUGAAACCAAAAGAUGUGAAGUUAAUAAUGAUAGUGCAACCUAUUUGUGGCACUGCUGUCUAAGUCAUAUUGGUGUAAAGCGCAAGAAGAAACUCCAUGCUGAUGGGAUUUUGGAAUCACUUGAUUAUGAAUCACUUGUUGCUUGCAAACCAUUCCUCUUGGGCAAGAUGACUAAAACGCCGUUCUCCGGAACAAUGGAGCGAGCAACAGAUUUGUUGGAAAUCAUACAUACUGAUGUAUGUGGUCCGAUGAAUAUUAAGGCUCGCGACAAGUAUCAUUAUUUUCUGAUCUUCACAGAUGAUUUGAGCAGAUAUGGGUAUAUCUACUUGAUGAAACAUAAGUCUGAAACGUUUGAAAAGUUCAAAGAAUUUCAGAGUGAAGUAGAGAAUCAUCGUAACAAGAAAAUAAAAGUUUCUACAAUAUGAUCGCAGAGGUAAAAUAUUUGAGUUACGAGUUUGGCCUGCAGUUAAAACAAUGUGAAAUAGUUUCACUACUCACGCCACCUGGAACACCACAGUGUAAUGGUGUGUCCGAACGUCAUAACCGUACUUUAUUAGAUAUAGUGCGAUCUAUGAUGUCUCUUACCGAUCUACCACUAUCGUUUUGGGGUUAUGCAUUAGAGACAGCUGCAUUCACGUUAAAAAGGGCACCAUCUAAAUCCGUUGAGAUGACACCGUAUGAACUGUGGUUUGGCAAGAAACCAAAGUUGUUGUUUCUUAAAAGUUUGGAGUUGCGAUGCUUAUGUGAAAAGGUUUCAUCAUGAUAAGCUCGACCCAAAUCGGAGAAAUGCGUCUUCAUAGGAUACCCAAAGGAGAUUGUUGGGUACACCUUCUAUCACAGAUCCGAAGGCAAAAUCGUUGCUAAAGAUGGAUCCUUUCUAGAGAAGGAGUUUCUCUCGAAAGAAGUGAGUGGGAGGAAAGUAGAACUUGAUGAGGUAACUGUACCUGCUCUCUUAUUGGAAAGUAGUUCAUCACAGAAAUCUGUCCCUGUGACUACUACACCAAUUAAGUGAGGAAGCUAAUGAUGAUGAUCAUGUAACUUCAGAUCAAGUUACUACCGAAUCUCGUAGGUAAACCAGAGAGAGAUCCGCACCAGAGUGGUACGGUAAUCCUGUUCUGGAAGUCAUGUUACUAGACCAUGACGAAUUUGCGAACUAUGAAGAAGCGAUGGUGAGCCCAGAUUCCGCAAAAUGGCUGGAGGCCAUGAAAUCUGAGAUGGGAUCCAUGUAUGAAAACAAAGUGUGGACUUUGGUUGACUUACCCGAGGGUCGGCAAGCAAUAGAGAACAAGUGGAUCUUUAAGAAGAAGACUGACGCCGACGGUAAUGUUACUGUCUACAAAGCUCGACUUGUCGCAAAGGGGUUUUCGACAAGUUCAAAGGAUUGACAAUGAUGAGACCUUCUCACCUGUAGCGAUGCUUAAGUCUGUCCGAAUCAUGUUAGCAAUUGCCGCAUUUUAUGAUUAUGAAAUUUGGCAAAUGGAUGUAAAGACUGCAUUCCUGAAUGGGUUUCUGGAAGAAGAGUUGUAUAUGAUGCAACCAGAAGGUUUUAUCGAUCCAAAGGGAGCUAACAAAAUAUGCAAGCUCCAGCGAUCCAUCUGUGGACUAGUGCAAGCAUCUCGGAGUUGGAAUACACGCUUUGAUAAGUUGAUCAAAGCAUAUAAUUUUAUACAGACUUGCGGUGAAGCCUGUAUUUACAAGAAAGUGAGUGGGAGCACUACAGCAUUUCUGAUAAGUAUAUGUAUGACAUAUUGUGGAUCAGAAAUAAUGUAGAAUUAUUCUGUAAAGCACAAAGGAGUGUUUGAAAGGAGUUUUUCAAAGGAAGACCUCGGUGAAGCUGCUUAGAUAUUGAGCAUCAAUAUCUAUAGAGAUAAAUCAAGACGCUUGAUAAGUUUUUUCAAUGAGUACAUACCUUGACAAGAUUUUGAAGUAGUUCAAAAUGGAACAGUCAAAGAAAGAGUUCUUGCCUGUGUUACAAGGUGUGAAGUUGAGUAAGACUCAAUAACCCGACCAUGGCAGAAGAUAGAAAGAGAAUGAAAGUCAUUCCCUAUGCCUUGGCCAUAGGUUCUAUAAAGUAUGCCAUGCUGUGUACCAGAUCUAUUACAUACCCUACCACAGAGUUUGGCAAGGGAGUACAAUAGUGAUCUAGGAGUAGAUCACUGGACAGCGGUCAAAAUUAUCCUUAGUGGAAUAAGGAUAUGUUUCUCGAUUAUGGAUGUGACAAAAGGUUCAUCGUAAAGGGUUACAUCGAUGCAAGUUUUGACACUAAUCUAGAUGACUCUAAGUCUCGGUCUAGAUACAUAUUGAAAGUGGGAGCAAUUAGCUAAGAGUAGCUCCGUACAGAGUAUUGUUGACAUAGAAAUUUGCAAAAUACAUACGGAUCUGAAUUUGGCAGACCCGUUGACUAAGAUUCUCUCACAAGCAAAACAUGAUCACACCUUAGUACUCUUUGGGUGUUAAUCACAUAGCGAUGUGAACUAGAUUACUGACUCUAGUAAACCCUUUGGGUGUUGAUCACAUAUCGAUGUGAACUAUGGGUGUUAAUCACAUGGUGAUGUGAACUAUUGCUGUUAAAUCACAUGGCGAUGUGAACUAGAUUAUUGACUCUAGUGCCAGUGGGAGACUGAAGGAAAUAUGCCCUAGAGGCAAUAAUAAAGUUAUUAUUUAUUUCCUUAUAUCAUGAUAAAUGUUUAUUAUUCAUGCUAGAAUUGUAUUAACCGGAAACAUAAUACAUAUGUGAAUACAUAGACAAACAGAGUGUCACUAGUAUGCCUCUACUUGACUAGCUCGUUAAUCAAAGAUGGUUAUGUUUCCUAACCAUGAACAAAGAGUUGUUAUUUGAUUAACGGGAUCACAUCAUUAGUUGAAUGAUAUGAUUGAUAUGACCCAGUCCAUUAGCUUAGCACCCGAUCGUUUAGUAUGUUGCUAUUGCUUUUAUCCAUGACUUAUACAUGUUCCUUUGACUAUGAGAUUAUGCAACUCCCGUUUACCGUAGGAACACUUUGUGUGCUACCAAACGUCACAACGUAACUGGGUGAUUAUAAAGGUGCUCUACAGGUGUCUCCGAAAGUAUUUGUUGGGUUGGCGUAUUUCGAGAUUAGGAUUUGUCACUCCGAAUGUCAGAGAGGUAUCUCAGGGCCUUCUCGGUAAUGCACAUCACAUAAGCCUUGCAAGCAUUGCAACCAAUGAGUUAGUUGCGAGAUGAUGUAUUACGGAACGAGUAAAGAGACUUGCCAGUAACGAGAUUGAACUAGGUAUUGGAUACCGACGAUCGAAUCUCGGGCAAGUAACAUACCGAUGACAAAGGGAACGACGUAUGUUGUUAUGCGGUCUGACCGAUAAAGAUCUUCGCAGAAUAUGUAGGAGCCAAUAUGGGCAUCCAGGUCCCGCUGUUGGUUAUUGACCGCAGACGUGUCUCGGUCAUGUCUACAUUGUUCUCGAACCGUAGGGUCGGCACGCUUAAGGUUACGAUGACAGUUAUUAUGAGUUUUGAUGUACCGAAGGAGUUCGGAGUCCCGGAUGAGAUCGGGAACAUGACGAGGAGUCUCGAAAUGGUCGAGACGUAAAGAUCGAUAUAUUGGACGACUAUACUCGGAGUUCGGAAAUGUUCCGAGUGAUUCGGGUAUUUUUCGGAGUACCGGGGAGUUACGGGAAUACGGGGGAGAAGUAUUGGGCCUUAUUGGGCCAUACGGGAAAGAGAGAGGGGCUGCCUAGGGCAGGCCGCGCCCCCCCCCCCAAGGCCUAGUCCGAAUCGGACUAGGGGGAGGGGCCGCGCCCCCUCCUUCCUUCCCUUCUCUUUUCCUCUUCCUUGUCUCCUACUCCUAAUACAUGGAAGGUCUCCUAGUUGGACUAGGAAAAGGGGAACCCUACUCCCAGUGGGAGUAGGACUCCCCAGGGCGCGCCAUAGAGAGGGCCGGCCCUCCCCUCUUCCACUCCUUUAUAUACGGGGGCAGGGGGCACCCCAUAGACACACAAGUUGAUCCUUGAGAUCGUCCCUUAGCCGUGUGCGGUGCACCUCUCCACCAUAUUCCACCUCGGUAGUAUUGUCGCAGUGCUUAGGCGAAGCCCUGCGUCGGUAGUUCAUCAAGAUCGUCACCACGCCGUCGUGCUGACGGAACUCAUCCCCGGAGGUUUUGCUGGAUCGGAACACCGGGGACGUCAUCGAGCUGUACGUGUGUCAAGAACUCAGAGGCAUCGGAGUAACGGUGCUGGGAUCGGUUGGAUCGCGUGGAGAACGUACGACUACUUCCACUACGCUGUGUCAACGCUUCCGCUUCAGUCUACGAGGGUACGUAGACAACACUCUCCCCUCUCGUUGCUAUGCAUCACCAUGAUCUUGCGUGUGCAUAGGAAAUUUUUUGAAAUUACUACGUUCCCCAACAUAUAUUACAUGGGUCGAGCUGGGAUGCUCAACGAUUAUUACAAGCGCGCCAAUAAUUAUACAUAAUGGCGGAUACAACGCAAUGGUGUGGUGGCAUACUACUAACACGAGAUUAAAGGGGUGGUGGACUAACACAAUGGAGAGUGGAUAGCACAGUUCGUGAACUGGCAUCUCAUCGAGCGUCGAGGUGAGGCUCAAUGAAUUUAUUUGGGUAGCGGAAGCGGAUAUAAUACAGUGACCAAAUCCAGGGUCGAACGUGACUGACUGGGACUCCUCUAGGCGUCGGACUCGCUAUCGAAUUCUUCAUCCAUGAGAUCGCCUUCGUCAGCAUCUGGCCAAAUCAACAAGCCAGGUGAGUACUUUGAAAGUACUCGCAAGACAGUUUGGACGUAAGAUAUAACAAAUGCAUGCAUGAAUGCGUCAUGAUUAAUUUGCCAAUGCAUAAUGAAAAUUUAGAGAGCAAGGUAAGUAAAAGGGAAUCAGCGGUAGUCCGCCUGAAAUCCCGACAGUAAAGUAAAUGAAACCAAUCGAGUGUCUGGAGUGACGCCACGAAAGGUAAACAAAUAAAUAAAAGGUGAAACAUGCCACAGUCGGGCGUCUAUGCGACACCACAUAAAGGGCUUAAAAGAAAUGCCGCAGUCGGGCGUCUGAGCGACACCACAUAAAGGGCUUAAAAGAAAUACCGCAGUCGGGCGUCUAAGCGACACCACAUAAAGGGCUUAAAAGGAAUGCCACAGUCGGGCGUCUAAGCGACACCAUAUAAAGGGCUUAAAAGAAAUGCCGCAGUCGGGCGUCUGAGCGACACCAGAUAAAGGGCUUAAAAGGAAUGCCGCAGUCGGGGCGUCUAAGCGACACCACAUAAAGAGCUUAAAAGAAAUGCCGCAGUCGGGCGUCUGAGCGACACCACAUAAAGGGCUUAUCCUGUCAAGGAAAUAAUUUCACAAUAAAUAUUCAAUUCUUAAAAAUAAACAGGUUAGUCCAUCCACAGGAUUAAACAUUUAACCAGACUUAGCGCUCAUGCGUUCCACCGGAUAAUCUGUCACCAAAACUGGCACUUGUCAGUUAGCACGGAACUUGGACAAGGAUAUGAUGAUAUGAAGAUUUAAGACUCUGCAGAGUUUGUACAAAAAUUUCCCACAGUUAACGGAUUUCCGUAGUCACGAGAACUAGUUCCGUUUACGGUAUUUCAGAAGAAAACACAGCUAACCAGUACACACCCAUCCAACCUCUCGAUGCCAGGAAUCACCCUAGACAUCGUCCAAGAAAAACUUUUGAGACGGGGAGAUCACAAUCUCGAAUAGCAUGGGAUCAAAAUUUAUAUACGCGCGCUCUAAGGGGUGCCCCCCUCUUGGUCCCAACCGGAAACACCCAUGCCCCCUGACCGGAUGACUGGCUUUAAUCCAGGGCCAUGGAACCAUCAUCCCGGCCUCUCCUUUUUGGUGUGUACCAGGAAAGCGGUUUGCAACUUACUAAGCCAUAUCCCUUGCGGAAAACAUGUGGUAGUACAGGGAGGGAAAUGGAUAGGAACCAACCGAUACGGGUUGGUGCUGAAGUUAACUUGCAUGGCAUAAGACUGGCAUGCUACAACACUGCCAUCUUACCCAUCCUUUUGCCAACACAUGGCCUUGCUUACUCACAUCCAACAACGUGUGGAUCAACCGAACUUACUUGCCCCGACAAUGCAUAAUAACGGUUCAUCGGUUUGCUCCACAACAUGCCAUGAAACUAACUAAAAUGCAAAACAUGCCAAGACACUCAUCAUAUCAAAAGUUCAAACAUGCUUGCCUGGUUCAGAGUAGUCGGAGUCUAGCUCGGUGAAGUUUACGGUCCCGUCACCUCCGUCGGUAUCUACGGUAAUAAGAGGAUACACGCACUAUCGUAAAUACCAAGAGGUGCAAAAAAACAAUUAUCCAAAUAAUUUUUAAAUAAAUCUGAUAAAAAACUAGACAAAAUUUUGAAGAGAACAGAAAAAGAAUCACUCAAAAAUAUGCUGCUGUUAAAAAGUUAUAAAGGUUUUUGUCUAGGGACCCAUCUGUAAUGAAACAGAAACUUCCCAGGGUUCUUUUUAUAAAAACAGAAAACGUUUCAGUCUCAACUACGCCGGCUCAGAGGAGAAGACGUAUUUUGCCCGAAGGCGUUUUCCAGAAAAUGAUUCAUUUAAAACGAGCUGAGAGGCUGACGGGCGGGUCCCACCCGUCAGGUUCAAAUUCAAAAGAGGCGGGUCGGGGCUCGUUGGCGCCCGAGGGCCGCGGCGGUCGCCGGCGGCGAUCCACGGCGAGGUAGGGAGAUCGGAUAGUACCUCCGUGCUCAGGGAGCCAUUCCGCGUCGGGUGGUGGUGGUGGUGGUCGCCGGGAAGCACCACGUUGACGGUGGCUCCUGCUCCGGCGGACGGCGGUUCGGGCGUGGAUGGAGCUCGCCGGAGAGGGCUGCAUGCAUGAAAUUUAGGCGGGGGUCAGGCCUCUGGUAGCUAGAGGAGGUGAUUGACGGAGUUUGGGCACCGGGGACGACCUCACCAAAGUGAAUCAAGCUGGAGGCCGAGGCGGAACGGGGUGGCCAGAGUUGGGGGAGGAGACCUCCUCGAGGUCCUCCCAGUGGCCUGGAGGGGCGUUGGUGGAGUGUAGGGGUGGUGCGUGCUCGAGGGAGAGCUCGGGGUCUCUUUUUAUAGGCGAUCUGAGGCGGUGGCCGAGAACGGCGUUCUCCGGUGAUGGAUUAUGGCGGUGCAGUGCUUGGUCGGGAGAGUUUAGGAGCUGAGCGCCGUCGUGGAGGUUCGUGGAGUCUUUUUAGGUGCCAACAGCGCCAGGUUUUGCUUGCUUGGGUGGAGUUUGACGGAACGGGACGGCGUGGGUCCGUCGGCGGCAGAGAGCACGCGCUGUGCGUGUCGCGCCAUGGCGACGGUGCUGCAUGCGUGCGCUGGCGCGGAGAUGGCCACGCGGAGCCAUCAGCGGGGUUGGGCGGCGCUGAACGGCGUUGAGCCGCCGUUCUGCUCCCUGUUGGCUGCCACGGCGGUUCAGCCGCCGCAAGACACGCCGGCGUGGGCAGGCCAGGGCGCCACCGACGCCAGGAAGGUGCCAAGCACGCGUGCGGGGCUCCGGACAAGCAGGCCAGGCGGCGAGCAACGUGCCAAGGGCACUGUGGGCAUGUGACUGAAGUUAACUGACGAAGUUCGACACUGAAAUCUGAACUUAACUGAAUUUGACUGAAACAGUGCAUGCAGGGUGUUCGACAGAAUGAUCCAGGCAUGUAGGGAUUUUUCCUUGAGCUGAUUUUUGGUGGAGUGGCUCUUCAUUGCUCCAGUAGGCUGCCUGAUUUUUGGUGGAAUUUUUGGGUAAGUGGAAAUAUUAAUUUCACCAAAUUUGGCAAAUCUGGUCCAAACUUGCAGGGAGUGUAAUUUGAAAAAUUUGAAAAGGAGAAGAGUGGAUCAAGAUGGUUCUGGGUUGUGGGUACAAAGGACUAUCCAGGAGAGUUGGUUUGAAGUCAAAACUCAAAUGCAAUGAUGUACUUACUUUGAAAAUCAAUCAGGUCCAAAAUAAUUGACAAAAAAUAUUUGAGAGGUGAAAUAAUCAAAAUAAAAUCCAAAACUUGCUUGGAUGAGUUGGGACAGGGAAUUUAGGUUGAUAACAAGGAGGAGAGGAGGUUUUGGAGUGGCUUUACCUCAUGGGCAAAAAUACAAGGUCAUGGGUGGUUAUCAAAAGAAUGAAAGUCCCAAAUUUUCAUAGAGUUUUUAUUAUAAAAAGAAAAAGAUUAAACUCCCAAGAAAAAAAAUAUUUGUUUGGGAAGGGAACCAACAGAGGAGAAAUUUUAAAUGACCAAACCCAAGGCUUGAAGAAGAGAACAGAAAUAACAAUCCUAGCCAAAGAAAAGGAUUUUUAAGAGGAUGGUCUAUUUGGAUGUUUUCUUUAAAAAGCCUUAUUUCACGAAAGAAAAAACAACAAGGUUUUUGCUAAAAACCAGAUAAAAAUUUUGGAGUGUCACAGGCCCUCCGGGCACCUUCGAUGCAGGUGGAAUGCUUGAUGACCUCAAGCCGUGGACAGGCCUCCACCAGCCGCCGCAGCAGCCCGAAGUAGCUCCCAGGCAGGGCCUCUCCGGGCCACAGCCGAACUAGGAAGCCCUUCAUGGCUUGUUCGGCCGCCUUGUGGAGCUCGACCAGCUGUUUCAGCUGAUCGCUCAGAGGCACAGGGUGUCCGGCCUCAGAAUACUGAGACCAGAACACAUGCUCCAUCGAGCUGCCUUCUUCAGCUCGGUAGAAUGCGGCGGCAUCGGAUAUGCUACGGGGAAGAUCUGCGAACGCCCCUGGAGAACUCCGGAUUCGGGUAAGUGACAAAUAUUUUACUUUUAUAUUCCUACUUUGCAUUAAGAAUGCCUUAUCCGCUGCUAUCUUUUUCAUCUCCUCCAGCUCUUGGAGGGCCUUUUGGGCUUCGGCCUUGGCACCCUUGGCGGUCUCAAGGGCCGACGCGAGCUCGGAUGCUUGCGCCUUUGAUUCAAGCUCCAAGCUCUCAUGCUUUUUCAUGAGAGCCUGCAGCUCUUGCUGCACCUCGCCAACCUGAGCCCCAAGUCUUUCUCGCUCGGCGCGCUCCUCGGCCAUCUUCUUUCCGGCCUCAGAUAGCGCCUGGUUGAGGGUCGCCACCUCAGUUGUGGCCCCUACAAUAAGCAGUACGAUCCUGUUAUUCUUUGCAAUCACGCCUCUGUAUAGGCACCCCUUUUCUUUGUAGGGUAUUUCUUACCUUCUUUCUCCUCGAGCUUCCGUUUGGCAAGACCGAGCUCUUGCUCGGUCCGCCCGAGGUCCUUUUUUAGGACAUCCACCUGUGCAGUCAGUGCGGCGGUGGAUAGCAGCGAAGCCUGCAUACGCAUAUUGACUCUUUAUUGUUAGACUCCUGCGAAAAUUAAAAGAUCCUCUAUUCUGCUUUUCUUUCCAAAUGCCAAACAGAGCAUCAGGGGCUACUGUCUAUGCAGUAAUAUUUUGACAUAUUUUUACUUACCUCGAAGCCUGUCAGAAGGCUAGCGCAAGCUUCAGUCAGUCCGCUCUUGGCGGACUGAACCCUUCGGUUCACCGUACUCAUAACAGUACGGUGUUCCUCGCCGAUGGAGGCGCCAUCAAGCACCUCCAACAGAUUGUCCAGCGCCUCCGGUUGGACGGAGGUCGCCGGCUCAGAAGGCUUGCUCCUCUUGGAAGGAGUUCGCCUACCGCGGACCAGGACUGUUGAAGAGUCCGGCGCGGCGUCCGGCACAAAGCCGGACUCGGAGCCCUGGGGGGCCCUGUCCCCUUUACUCCUGGGGUCCGGGAGGUCGCCUUUCGGCUCCUCCAGGACCACCUCCUCCUGACCUGGAGCUUGUUGCGACACCACUUCGGCGUCGUCUGCAUUGCAGGGGGAGACAGCGGGCGGAACUGAGUUCACAUCCGACGAAUCCAGGGAGCCGCUCGACGAAGUCAAGUUCGGCCCGGGGCGGACGGCAUAUUCACAUUCGACAUUAAGGAAAGCUGCCAAUAAAGGAACACCAUGAGUUACUCUGGUAUAUGAAUACUUACGAUUUCGCCGGACGCUUGGCCCUGUCCGGCCACUCCUCUCCGCCCUCUUCGGCAUCGUGGGAGCAGUCCGGCGGAGGGGUCUUCCUUUUCCUAGACCCCUCGGCCUCCCCAGAUGGGGCGGCCUUCUUCUUUUCUCCCCCCGCUGGGGAGGAGAGCUUUCUUCUUCCUUCUCCUCGUUUUCACGAGAGGAGGGCGCCUUGGACUCGUCAGACGACGAGUCCGACACCACCAAGUUACGGGUACUCUUUCGAGUCCUGGUGAUCUUCUUCUUCUCAACCUUCUUCUCCAGCACCACGUAAGGUGCCGGAGUCAGCAGCUUCACUAGGAGAGCUGGGCUGGGUCUUCGGGCUGGGGAGCCGGACAGUUUAUUGGUCCGGAUAUCGCCUGCCAAGCCUGUCAAAGGUAAGGGAGUUUAGAUCCCGCAUAGAGUUAAUCUAUGAAAAAGAGCUUAAUAAUCCUGUCAAAGGCAUAGAUAGCUUACCUCGCUAGCGUGAUGCUACGUGUUGUAUCCGUGGUCCUCGGAAGCGGAUGCGGGAGCCUCGGCGCCUUUGAUUAGCACCUUCCAGACGUCUUCAUACGAUGUUUCGAAGAGCCUGUUAAGGGUUCGGUGCUGCGUCGGGUCAAACUCCCACAAAUUGAAAUCCCGUUGUUGGCACGGGAGGAUCAGGCGAACGAGCAUGACCUGGACUAUAUUGACCAGCCGGAUUGGCUUGUUUACCAGGGACUGGAUGCAGGUCUUCAGUCCGGUCACCUCUUUCUCGUUGCCCCACGACAGGCCCGUCUCUUUCCAGGACAUAAGCCGCGUGGGGGGUCCGGAUCUGAACUCGGGGGCUGCAACCCAUUUCGGAUCGCGUGGCUCGGUGAUGUAAAACCACCCGGCUUGCCACCCCUUUAGGGUCUCCACAAAGGAGCCCUCGAACCAGAGGAUGUUGGCUAUCUUGCCAGCCAUAGCACCUCCGCACUCCGCUUGGCUGCCGCACACCACCUUGGGCUUGACGUUGAAAGUCUUGAGCCAAAGGCUGAAAUGGGGGCGGACGCGGAGGAAGGCCUCACACACGACGAUAAACGCCGAGAUGUUGUGGAUGAAGUUCGGGGCCAGAUCGUGGAAAUCUAGGCCAUAGUAGAACAUGAGUCCCCGGACGAAUGGGUGAAGUGGAAAACCCAGUCCACGGAGGAAGUGGGGAAGGAAAACUACCCUCUCAUGGGGCCUUGGGGUGGAGAGAAGUUGCCCCUUCUCAGGAAGCCGGUGCGGGAUGUCCUUGGACAGGUAUCCGGCUUUCCUUAGCUUUUUUACUUGAACCUCCGUAACGGAGGAGACCAUCCACUUGCCUCCCGCUUCGGACAUUGCUGGAGAAGGUUGAGGUGGGAAGAGCGGGCUUGGGUGCUGGAGCUUGAGUGCGCGAGAGAUGGAUUGGCAAAGGAGGAAGAAGGCGUAGGUGAAAAGGUGGAUCCUUAUCCCCUUAUAUGGGCAGAUGUGGUUAUGCGUCCCCACCUACCUAAUAAAACUCGCUUGCCUCCCAAGCACCGUGGUAAAUGGCGCGGUUGGGUUUCCCACGUCCGUAUUGAUGAGAAUCCCGUAAAAGGGGCACACGAUCUCUGCUUUGACAAGACGUGCCAAGGAAACCGCCUCGCUAAACAUGUUGAGGUGGAGAAGUGAAAACAAUUUGUGAAAACAGUUAUGACGCACUGCAGAAUACGUCAGCAGAUUUGAUUUGUGUUAAUAUUAUUCUCUCUAUGGAAAUAUGUGAAAACUUGUUUUGCAGAGCCGGACACUAUUUUUGGUGUUUAUAAUCUUCUAUGAAGAACUUGGAGGAGGAACCCGCCUUGCAAUGCUGAAGGAAAUCUGCGUGCCGGACUCGUCGUCAUUGAAGCCUGGUUCAGGGGCUACUGAGGGAGUCCUGGAUUAGGGGGUGUUCGGGUAGCCAAACUAUACCUUCGCCGGACUCCAGGACCAUGAAGAUACAAGAUUGAAGACUUCGUCCCGUGUCUGGAUGGGACCUUCCUUGGCGUGGAAGGCAAGCUUGGCGAUGUGGAUAUUCAAGAUCUCCUACCAUUGUAACCGACUCUAUGUAACCCUAACCCUAUCCGGUGUCUAUGUAAACCGGAGGGUUCUAGUCCGUAGGACAACUUCAUUAUACACAAUCAUACCAUAGGCUAGCUUCUAGGGUUUAGCCUCCUUGAUCUCGUGGUAGAUCUACUCUUGUACUACCCAUAUCAUCAAUAUUAAUCAAGCAGGAGUAGGGUUUUACCUCCAUCGAGAGGGCCCGAACCUGGGUAAAACAAAGUGUCCCUUGUCUUCUGUUACCAUCCGACCUUGACGCACAGUUCGGGACCCCCUACCCGAGAUCUGCCGGUUUUGACACCGACAACCUACUUAAUUGCUAUGCUAAGCACCUGCUGCACACCUAAUUUAUGAACGGGAAGUUUACUGCUAAGGGGCAAGCCCUUCCUUAGUUGAAUAUAUCUGUUGUGCUGCAGUGGGCAUGUAUACAAAUGGAGUCUGUUGAACUGUGAUUUGGUGGAAACUGGCUCAACGCAUCUGGUGCGUGGCCUAUCAUUAUAUAUAUGGUACCAAGGGGUACAAUACAGGUACAAAUACAGUUGUGGUACAAUAUACAGUCUAACACCCUCCCUCAAUCUUAACUGUGGCCUGAGGUACUCAGUAAGUUAAGAUUGCGUCUACAACCUAUGAACAAAGGAAGAGACAAGGGUUUGGUGAAGAUAUCAGCAAGUUGAUCGUUGGAGGAGAUGAACUUGAUCUGCAGGAACUUCUGUGCAACAUGUUCUCUCACAAAAUGAUAAUCAACUUCGAUGUGUUUCAUUCGGGCAUGAAAUACCGGAUUCAAUGAGAGGUAUGUGGCACCGAUGCUGUCACACCAAAGGACAGGAGGCUGAUUGUGAGAGAUCUUCAAUUCUCGAAGAAGGGACUGGACCCAAAUAAGCUCAGCAGUGGCAUCAGCAACCGCCUUGUACUCAGCUUCAGUGCUACUCUGAGAAACUGUAGCCUGUUUCCGAGCACUCCAGGCGAUCAGAUUAGGACCAAAGUAGACGGCAUAUCCCCCCGUGGAUCGCCUGUCAUCUGGGUUACCAGCCCAGUCCGCAUCACCGAAGGCCGAGAGCACACUAGAAGGCGCCGGCCUGAGAUGAAGUCCGUAAGAGGCAGUGGGGCGAACAUAACGCAGAAUACGUUUGACAGCUGUCAAGUGAGGCUCUCGAGGAGCAUGAAGGUACUGGCAGACACGGUUAACUGCAUAUGAAAUAUCAGGUCGUGUGAUGGUGAGGUACUGAACAGCCCCAACAAGGCUUCGAUACUCGGUGGCAUCAUCAGCAGAGAGUAGAUUCCCAUCAGGAGCAUAAAUAGGCACAGUGGAGGACAUCGGAGUAGUAGCAGCUUUGCACUCCAACAUGCCAGCACGCCGCAGGAGAUCCUGAGAGUACUUCUGCUGAGAAAGAGCAAGACCAUCAUGUGGAUAUGUGACCUCCAGACCAAGAAAGUAAUGAAGUUUGCCCAGAUCCUCGACAGCAAAAUCAGAACUGAGAGCCAGAACCAAACGACCAGUCGCCGCAACAGAGGAACUGACAAGAAUGAUAUCAUCAAGAUAGACCAGAAUGUACAUUGUGACUUCCGGUCGUUGAAGAAUAAACAGUGAAGUAUCCGCAGUGGAGGGCACAAACCCACGAGCACGAAGCGCAGAUCCCAGCCGAGCAUGCCAAGCGCGAGGAGCCUGUUUGAGACCAUAGAGUGCUUUCACCAAACGACAAAGAUGCUGAGGACGAUCAGGGUCAGAAUACCCAGGGGGCUGACGCAUGUAGACCUCCUCCUGAAGAACACCAUGAAGAAAUGCAUUCUGAACAUCCAAUUGACAAAGAGACCAACCUCGGGUGACAGCAAGUGACAAGAGCAGUCGAAUAGUGGUUGGCUUAACAAUAGGACUGAAGGUAUCCUCGUAGUCAAGACCAUACCGUUGCUUGAAGCCCUUAGCAACCAGCCGAGCCUUGUACCGCUCAAUAGAACCAUCUUCGUGUCGUUUGACCUUGAAGACCCAUUUGGAAUCAAUGACGUUGAUACCUGGACGGGGAGAGACCAGCUGCCAGGUGCCAUUCUGACGAAGAGCCUGAAUCUCAAGGUCCAUAGCAGCACGCUAGUGAGGAAUACUCAUCGCUGCUUGAUAGUGUAGAGGUUUCGCAGUAGGAUCUGACUGCGCUUGAGCCAAGCAGGCAACAAUCCAUGCAACAGUGCCAUCAGUGUACUUCUUGGGCCGGUGAAUACCACUCCGGCUACGUGUAUGCGGCCGAAGAACCACAGGAGCUGGAGGCGGGUCCGCCGCUACCUCAUGAGGAGAGGCAGGCGACGGUGCAGGAGACGGGCUCCCGAGCAGCGAGGCCGCAUGUGGGGCAGGCACGGGCGAGUCCGGCCCAGGCAAGGAAGCUGACGCGGGCUCAGGCGAGGCGGGCUCAGGCGAGGCCGGCCCAGGUGGGGCAGGCGGGGGCGAUGCAGGCGGUGGAGACCGCUCAAGCGAGGCGGGAAGCAGGAAAGGCCCACUGCCAGCCGGCCGCGCGGGCAACGAAGCGGCUGAGCCAGGCGGAGCCGAGGAGGCGGCCUCAGGGCGCUCGCCCGCUGCAUGUCCCAUGCAGCGAUCGACGACGCAGUCAUCAGAAGCAGGUGCGGGCGACGCCGGUUCGUCAAGUAGAUCGAGACGAGCGCCACAUCUGAUACCUGCACCAUGGUUAGGCAAUAAUACAGGCGAAUAUGCAACAUCCUCAAGUUGAUCAGGCAAAAUAAAGGAGCUAUGAGUGGAUGAUGGCAACGAUGAGGAUGAUGGCAGAUUCAAAAAUGGAAACAGCCUUUCGUCAAACAUGACAUCAUGAGAAAUAUAGACUCUAUUUGUUGGAACAUGGAGACAUUUGUAGCCUUUGUGAAGAGCACUAUACCCAAGGAAGACACAUUUUUAGAGCGAAACUCAAGCUUGCGGCUGUUAUAGGGCCGAAGGUGCGGCCAACAAGCACAGCCAAAAACCUUGAGAAAAGUAUAGUAAGGGAGUUCAUUAAACAGCAGUCCAAGUGGUGUCUUCAUUUUUAAUACUCGAGUUGGAGUUCGAUUGAUCAAGAAACAAACAGUGGUAAAAGCAUCACUCCAAACCCGGAAGGGCACAGAGGCAUGAGCAAGAAGUGUAAGACCAACUUCAACAAUGUGACGGUGCUUGCGCUCAACGGCACCAUUUUGCUGAUGUGUAUGUGGGCAUGAAACACGAUGAGAUAUCCCAAGAUUAUUAAAGAAAGAGUUGAGGUUGCGGUAUUCGCCCCCCAAUCCGACUGAACAUGAAUGAUCUUAUGCUUGAGGAGUCUCUCAACAUGCAAUUGAAAUUGUAAGAACACAUGAAACACAUCAGCUUCGCUUUUUAGGAGAUAAAGCCACGUAAAGCGACUGUACGGAUCAAUGAAGCUGACAUAAUAUUUAUGACCACUGACAGAGGUUUGGGAAGGGCCCCAUACAUCCCAAAACACAAGCUCUAAUGGGGUAGUAACAACUCGAGAUGAAGACACAAACGAUAAUAGAUGACUCUUUCCCUCUUGACAAGCAUCACAAACUGCUAAAGGUUUAUUACUAGAUGACGUAGGGAUCUCAUGUCUAUGCAAAACAUGGCUAACUAUGGGAGACGCAGGAUGCCCAAGCCGGGCAUGCCAAUGAGACACCGACGUGCGAACAACGCUGAAGACCUCCGGAAGGGACGGCGCCUCCAAUGCAUACAGGCCCUGAUGGAUGCGACCUCUUAAGCAGAACCUCCCGUGUGGCUCGAUCCUUAACCAAGAGAUGAAAUGGGUGAAAUUCACAAAACACAUCAUUAUCAUAAGUAAACUUACGAACAGAUAGUAAUGGACGAGUGACAAGUGGGACGCGAAGGACAUUACGAAGGCGAAGGCGACGAGAGGAACUAGACAGAAGGGAGGCCUGACCAACAUGAGUAAUGGGCAUACCUGAACCAUCAGCGGUGCGGACCUUGUCACGGCCGCGGUAGGGCUCCAGCGUCUGGAGUCGAGAAGCCUCAUUGGUCAGGUGCUCCGUGGCACCCGUGUCAAGGUACCAGGCGGGAUCGAUCGGAUACGACGGCGUGUACCUGCCUGCGCCGGGGUGGGUACCGCCAGGGUAGCCGACCGAACUCUGUUCGGCGAUGGCAGCUUGCUUCUCGUUACCGCGCCCGUCAUUGCCGAUGCCAAGAAAAUCCCUCUUGAAGCGACGGUGGCUGCGAGAGGCAUAGUGCCCGUGGAUGCCACACAGCUGGCAGUCGACGUUGGGGCGGCCGCUGCGAUCGGUGGUCACAGGAGGGCCACGGGACGGCGGGGAUGGAGGGGGCUGGCGGCCACCACCACCCAUGGGCGGGCCAGUAGGAGAAUGAGGUGGACGAUGUCCACGAGCACCACGGUAGGCUGCAAGGGCCUGAGGGUCAUUCAGCUGCAUCUCGGCACGGCGGGCGUCAAAACGGUGCUCGGUGGAGAGGAGGCGCGCAUACAUGUCCUAGGAAGACAGGGGCGUCUCACGACCCCGCACCGCCUCAACCAGGUUGUCGUAGUCCUGAUCGAGGCCCGAAGAACGAAGUCAGUGAACUCCGUAUCACGAAGCGGCUCCCCGAUAGCGGACAGGGUGUCGGCGAUCGUCUUGAUCUUGUUGAAGUAGACGUGCGCGGAGGAGUCGAGCUUCUUGCACUCGACGAGUUGUUGACGAAGAGCCAACGCGCGAGCCGAGGAGUGGGCCGAGAAGCUGUCCGCCGUCGUCGCCCAGACGUCAAGGGAUGUGGCGGCGAACACCACCAGCCCAGCAACUCCUUCCAUCAGGGAGGACUGGAGCGCGGACAGGAUAGCUUGGUCCUGUGCGACCCAGGCGCGAUACGCCGGGUUUUCGGCCGAAACUCGGGCGCCGGUGGCCGUGACCGCAGGGAUGAGGCGGGGCGGACACGGGUGGCUCCCGUCGACGUAGCCUUCGAGAUGGCGGCUGCGAAGAAGCGGUAGGAUCUGCGCCCGCCAAUACAGGUAAUUAUCCUGCGUGAGGCGCACCGAGAUGAGGUGCGUGAGCUGAUAGGACCAUUGCCCGGGCCGUUGACCGGGGAUCCAACAGGGGCAACGACAUCAGCCGCGGUGGAGAUGAUGGGUGCCUUGGACACGGCCAAGUGGGGGCCGAGGAACGGUGAGGCCGGGGGCGCCGAUGGGGCCGGGGGCGGCACCGCGCUGAACGGUACCAGCGACGCCGACGCGUAGGACGGCAGCGGAGGGAAGAACCCUGAAGCGAACUGCGACGAGCCGAGGUAUAGAGGGCGCGAGGUGGUGGACGUGGCCAUCUGGCUCGUGGUGCUGGCGGCGAGGAUCGCUGCAAGCUGGGGCGGGAUGAAGGGCGGCACCGCGGUUGAUGGUGCGGAGGUGGGCAGGGCAGCGGAGAAGGCCGAGGGAGCGCGAGAGGAACUCAUGGCGAUGGCGAUCUUGGCGGCGGCGCGGCAACCUAGGAGGUAGCAGCGGCGGCCAAGGACAGGAGGCGGCGGCUAGGGUUGUGGAAAACCUAGUCUGAUACCAUGUUGAAUUGUGAUUUGGUGGAAACUGGCUCAACACAUCUGGUGCGUGGCCUAUCAUUAUGUAUAUGGUACCAAGGGGUACAAUAUAGGUACAAAUACAGUUGUGGUACAAUAUGCAGUCUAACAGAGUCAAAGACUGUUGUUAGUCUGUCAUAUAUUGAACGCAAAAAAAAAAAGUCUGUCAUAUAUUGGCACCAAAUUGCAAACAGGCCCUGAGCAGAGGGAUGCGGCGUUGGCCUUGAGCGGCUCGACGAACGCGACCAGCGGCCGUGCGUGCUGCUGGACGGUGCCGUUGUCCAAGAAGACGAACACCCCGAUGACGUGACGACUGCUCCCAUGCUUGCGGCUGCUGUCAUAUCGUGGUACUUCACAGCACAUGUCUCGGGCUACUUCCACGGCUAGAGCAACAACACUACACUAGUUACAUCAGAAGGUAGGUUCAGAAUUACAGGGUGAGGAGGGAGUUUCGUCUUCAGGUUCUGCUCAUCGCGUCCAGCUCGGCCCCGUGAACUUGACGUUCGGUCCAAGGGUAGGGCUGGCAAUGGUACCACCGUCAUAAAUUUUGUUCUAGUAGAAUUAAUUGAUGUUGAAUCACUCAUGAACAUUCCUGGCAUCGACCUCACAAGCAUACAUACAGAUAUAUCAUUAUCACUACGUACGGCUCGUUCAUCGCCUUUGCAAGUAGGCAACAUGCAUGAUGCAUUUUUUUUUAGAGAAGGGGGAUUCCCCGGCCUCUGCAUCAGAUCGAUGCAUACGGCCUCUCUUAUUAAACAAGUAAACAAGGUCUGAACAAUGAUCUUACAAAAAUGGAACAAAAGCAGCAUCUAGCUCACAUAGAGCAUCAACUGCAAAGCAGAAACGAGAAAAGCCACAACCGGCUGGCAUAAGAGCAGAUAGGUAAACUAAAUGCCUAUCCUAUUACAUGAUCGCCAUCCAAACCGGUUGAAGAUAUCCCGCGCUACCGUCUCCCACCGGACAGAUCCAGUAACCAAACGCUCACUGGCCUCCGUCGGAGUGAGUAAGGACCACGUACGGAUCAGCGUUGUAGCUCGGAAUAACACCUGCAAAAAAUGAGUAUUUGUUGUCCUGUUAAAAACCAAAUCAUUUCUGCAAUUUCAAAUUGCCCAUAAUAACGCACAUACUCCUACACGAAUGUGUCUGGCUGUUUCGGACUCAAUCCCAACAAGCCACGCCCCAAAUAACGUGUUGACCGAUCUCGGAGGAGUAAUAUUAAAGGCAAUUUGCACGGUGCGCCACAACCCUUGUGCCAACGGGUAGUCAAAAAAUAAAUGCUUGAUAGUCUCAUCCCGAUGACAGAAACUACACCUAGUAGAUCCUGUCCAGUUGCGCUUAACUAGAUUGUCCUUUGUAAGAAUAACUUGUUUAUGCACAAACCACAUAAACACUUUAAUCUUCAAAGGAACCUUAACUUUCCAAACCACAGAUGAAUUAAUAAUAUCAAUAUACAUCGAUUUUACCGUGAACACCCCAGUUCUAGUUAGUUUCCAACACAACUGGUCGGGCUGAGGAUUUAGCUGAACAUCCAUCAGCCUACGGACCAAGUGAAGCCAUGCUUCCCAUCGAGGUCCAACAAGCACUCUCCUAAACUGUAUGUUUAGAGGGAUAGACUGCAUCACCGUGGCAACAAGAGCGUCCCUACGCUGAACAAUACGAUAUAGUGUCGGAUAUUGUGUAGCCAAAGGCGCAUCACCCAGCCACGUAUCCUCCCAGAAUCGCGUAUCAUCUCCAUUACCAACAAUACAUCUCGUUCUGUUAAAGAAAGCGGCUUUAACCCUCAUGAGCCCUUUCCAGAACGGCGGAUCUGCAGGUCUCAGAGUGACCUGGGAUAAAGUCUUUGAGUGCAGAUAUUUACUACGUAAAAUCUGCGCCCAAGUUGCCUCUGUCUUAGAAGACAACUUAAAUAGCCACUUACUAAGCAGGCAUCUGUUUUUGACUUCAAGAUUUUCAAUACCAAGUCCCCCUUGGUCCUUUGGUCUGCAGAUAAUAUCCCAUUUGGCCAAUCUGUACUUCCUCUUAGACUCAUCACUCUGCCAAAAGAAGCGAGAACGAUAGAAGUCUAGCCUUUUCCUCACCCCAACUGGGACCUCGAAGAAAGAUAAGAGAAACAUAGGUAAACUCGUGAGCACCGAGUUAAUCAGAAUCAACUGGCCUCCAUAAGACAUGAGUUUUCCUUUCCAACAACUUAGUUUCUUCUCAAAUCGAUCCUCGAUACACUUCCACUCACCAUUUGUUAGCUUACGAUGGUGUAUGGGAAUACCAAGAUACGUGAAAGGUAGAGUCCCAAUUUCACACCCAAACAAUUGUGUAUAUGCUUCUUGUUCAUCUUUGGCUCUACCAAAGCAGAACAACUCGCUUUUAUGGAAAUUAAUCUUCAGCCCAGACAAUUGUUCGAAAAGGCAUAACACUAGCUUCAUGUUCCUCGCUUUGGCCAAAUCGUGUUCCAUAAAAAUGAUUGUAUCAUCAGCGUAUUGCAGAAUGGACAAACCACCAUCAACCAGAUGAGGGACCAAUCCCUCCACCUGACCGGCCUCUUUGGCCCUCCCAAUCAGGAUCGCUAACAUAUCAACCACAAUAUUGAACAGAAUAGGCGACAUAGGGUCUCCCUGUCUCAGACCCUUGUGCGUUUGGAAAUAAUGACCUAUGUCAUCAUUAACUUUAAUGCCAACACUGCCUUUUUGCGUGAAUGUUUCCACUUGAUGUCGCCAGCGCUCAUCAAAUCCCUUCAUUCGUAAAGCUUGCUGGAGGAACGGCCAUUUGACUUUAUCAUAAGCCUUCUCGAAAUCCACUUUGAAAAUAACACCAUCUAGUUUUUUCGUAUGAAUUUCAUGAAGCGUUUCAUGAAGGACCACAACCCCUUCGAGGAUGUUCCUAUCCGGCAUGAAAGCCGUUUGAGAAGGUUGUACUACAGCGUGCGCUAUCUGUGUAAGCCUGAUCGUCCCAACCUUGGUAAAGAUUUUGAAACUGACGUUGAGAAGGCAGAUAGGCCAAAAUUGCUCAAUUCUCACGGCAUCUGUUUUCUUAGGCAACAAAGUUAUCGUUCCAAAAUUAAGUUGGAACAGCUGCAAAUAUCCCAAGAACAAAUCAUGGAACAUCGGCAUCAGGUCCCCUUUGAUAAUAUGCCAACACUUCUUGUAAAACUCAGCAGGGAAACCAUCCGGCCCCGGUGCCUUAUUACACUUCAUCUUGGCAAUAGCCUCGAAAACUUCCUUUUCCGAGAAAGGGGCAGUUAAUACAUCAUUCUCCACAGUAGUAAGUUGAGGGAUAUCGCUAACCCUAGACUCAUCCAGGGAUACACAGCUCUCCUCUGGUGGUCCGAACAACCGUUUGUAGUACUCAGUAAUGUAGAGCUUCAGGUUAUCCUGGCCGACUAUUGUACCCUCAUCUUGUUCUAGCUGGAAGAUCCUCUUCUUCCGGUGCUUGCCAUUGGCAAUCAUGUGGAAGAACUGGGUGUUCGCAUCCCCCUGGACAACUUUUCUCACCUUUGCCCGCAAUGCCCACUUUAAUUCUUCUUCACGGAGCAAUUCCUUCAGCCUCAUCUCAGCCUCAUGCUUAAUAUGAAGCUCGGUGGGUAACAGAAACAUGCAUGAUGCAUAUCCGAGACUACAUGCCAAUACCUACAUAUGUAUUUAUUCCCCUUGUUAGCAUCUCCAGCAGCUACACAAUAAAUCUUCCUCUAUUUUUAUUGUUUCUCAUGGUGUGUUGUAGCAAAUUUCAAAUAUAUCUACCCCAAUAUACUUCUCUGUUUGUGAAUGUAUUUAUCUGCAUGAACUUCUGUUGUGCAUGUGAAUGGUCGUUUUCUUGUUCUUAACCUCUAGCUUUAGCCUAGAAUUUAAGAUCUUGCAACCUUGUGUUUUCGACGAUACAUGAAUGGUUAUAUUCUUGUUCUCAAUUUCUACCUCCAGCCUAGAACUUAUCUUGUUUGGGUGGACCUGGAAUGCAAGACUAUCUAACAAAUGGGCCACAUCUGUUGGUGGGUCAUUUUUAUUUUANNNNNNNNNNNNNNNNNNNNNNNNNNNNNNNNNNNNNNNNNNNNNNNNNNNNNNNNNNNNNNNNNNNNNNNNNNNNNNNNNNNNNNNNNNNNNNNNNNNNNNNNNNNNNNNNNNNNNNNNNNNNNNNNNNNNNNNNNNNNNNNNNNNNNNNNNNNNNNNNNNNNNNNNNNNNNNNNNNNNNNNNNNNNNNNNNNNNNNNNNNNNNNNNNNNNNNNNNNNNNNNNNNNNNNNNNNNNNNNNNNNNNNNNNNNNNNNNNNNNNNNNNCUCCCCCCGGGACGGUGCCGAACAAGGAGCCGGCAAGGCACAGGCGGAUGCGGCGACGCCUGACCCCUACCCCUAUGAUGGUGGUUGGCCGACUGCUGGCUCGGGAGGCUACCAGUGUGGCACGUCCAGGGGCAGGGGCGGCAACGGGGGUUUGGGGGCACUGUGGCCGGCUCAGGCUGCAGCCCUUGCUGUGCGCCCGGGUGCAGGGGACCGGUGCAGCGGCACCGGUGUCUGGCCGACGACGGGGUGGAAAGGUGGAGCGGCGGCCCGACCGCACCUGACCGGCGACGCGGAGGGAAAGUGACGUGGAGGCCCAACUGCGCUCGAUCGGCAAUGGGGAAGGAAGGUGAUCCGCGAACGUAAUGUCGAGGACAGGGGAAGGUCAAUCUUCCCCUCUAUAUAUGAGGAAGUUGGGGCGUUUUUAGGCUCAAAUUCAAAAGAUCAUUUGGUUUACGGAAACUGUUGUGUCAACUUCUCUAUAUAUCGAUUUUUUUUGGGACAGGAAAGCUGCUGGAUAUGCCGUUAAGAUGUAAUCUAGUAUUGACAAGCGCCACGUACCCAACCUACUUGUGUUGUUCCAAAUUUAGUGUGGGCAAUUGACAAGCUAACUACCUACUCGGCUACUCAGUUUGUUCCAAAUUUAGUGUCUCUCUCAUUUACCUAACGGUGAGUUCAUGUCCAAUAUGCAACCAUACACGCACGUACACGCGCGGUAGCAUAUGUAUGCGUGCUAUAUUCGGAGGGAGUGCUCCAAGUCUUUAACACAAUUGCAUGCACUCUCGGUAGGUAAUCGAUCUAUUCCUACUAAGCUUGUGACCCAACUUGGAAGCUAUUAGCGACACUUUCUGAUCCAUCUUCUAGUUAGCGCAAUAAAUAGAUGCAAGCUUCAUGAUUUCCUUCUAAUUGUCUGGCAUGCACAUUUGCUCCUACUCUCUCCGCCCACCGAUUAAAAGACAUAAGAGAGUAUCUCACCAACGUGCAUUUCUUUUUCAGAAAACAUUCAAUCUAUUCUUCUUCAAUCAUGAUAGGACAAUGAACACCAGAAAUAAUAAAAAUUGCAUCUAGAAUCAUAGACCAUCUAGCGAUUACUACAAACACUGAAGUGAGCCGAAGUCGCGCCGCCGUCAUUGCCCUUCGCUCACUGGAGCCGGACAAAACUUGUUGUAGUAGACAGUCAGGAACUCGUAUAUAAAGAAGACAUAAAUCAAAGCGCACGACCGAAAGAUACAAGGUACUACUAGUGAGGCAACCCUCCCACAAAGCAGACACCUAAAUAACUGGACAACACAAACGCAUGCGACUAUGUUACCGGAAAGAGUACAUGAAGGACCGAAGACAACACCACACCACGACAUAGGGCACCUAAGCUCCACGACUUUACUCGGGUGGAUGACGCAAAGCGUCGAAAUAGACAAAGGUUUUCACCCGGAACUCUGGCACAAAGAGGAGAACCCAAAAGACGGAUGGUUGAAUUGUGCUGAACUUUUGGUGAUGUUUAUAUGUGAAUUAUGUCUGUUUGAUAUCAGUUUAUUUGUUCGUUUCCUGCCAAAUAUGUCCAUUUGAUGAUCUACACAGUACGAGUUUAUGUUGCAUUAGGAUGGAUAUUGGGUGCCGGAUAUGAGAUACGUGGCUGUGGACGCGCCGAUUUAAGGAUUGCCCGGUCACUGUCCGCGGGCGCAUAUAGGGUGACGGAUUUGGCAGGUCCGGCCAUAGAUGCUCUUAGUAUCCCACUGCCAUGUGAAGUUACAUUUAUAUCCUUCCGGUAGUUCUCAUAGUGCUAUCAUAUAUAGGGUUGUACAUAUACAUGUACUAUUUGCAAAUGAUGCCUCCCAUAUAUAUGCUUGCACACCUGACAGAUACCUGUAAAGCUAGCUAGUUCAACAGUACCAUUUGUACGUCUAUUCAAGGUAGCUGCUUCAUGGUACUUAUCCUCGAGCUUAAUCCAUCGAUCGACUGAGCAGCCGAUCAACAACCUGCGAGGCCCGCCGAUAUGUUAUCCUGAUCAAUCCGUCUUCUGCAUCUCUCACGCAUGUAUCCAACGCGACUAUGAUUAGCGCAACAGCUAUACUAAAUUGCCUGAAUUUCAAAUUUGGAUAUCUGGAAUCCGAACGCCAGGGCGAGCAUAGAGAGGCGUGGGGAUACCCGCGAGGCCUUGGACCAUGUGAACCAUGCAGCAGCGACGUGGCAGGUGGAGGGGAGUAUGAAGGUUGACUCAUACAGGUAGCGGUGCUGGUCCUUCCGGAGAAGUCUGGUAUCCAGAGGAGGUUUAGAGGGAUGGCCGAGCACAGCGGCAGCAUGUCACUGGGAUAAGGCUAGGGGAUGGUGGGGCAGUCAGGCGCAUGCGGGAGCGCUGCCAACUGCGGGUGACAGCAGGAGGCGGCCCCGAGGAAGAAAAAGACCGGAGGUUGAAGAAAGAAGACGAGCCCGUCCAAUUUCUAUCCAACGGCUGAAAAAACUGACAUGCCCCACAUCGUUUUUCAGUCAACUUAUCUAUAUUUUUUUAUAUUUAUAUAAAUAGCUAGCCCCACUAACAUAGUUUGCUCAACAUGUAAACAUGCCAUGUCAGCAUGGAAUAUGCACGAGAAAAUGCCCACCACAACAUGUAACUAUGCAUAGAAAAAAUUCCCUAGCAUGCACACAUGCAUGAAAAUUUUCAUUCUAUUGCACUAUUCAUAAUUAUAUAAUUUUACUCAUAUAUAUUAUUACUCUAAAUAUAUUAAUUUUCCACACAAUCAGAUAUUAUUAAAAUAUAUUGCAAAAUAUUCCCGCAACAAUGUGUGAGCUACUAGUAUCUUGUAUAGACAAACCCCACUGCAAGUUAUUAUUCAUCACUUUCCUAGCAUAUGCUUCUACACCAUCCAAAUUUAUAGUCGUUGAAUUUGCUAGCUUGGUCAAGUAACAUCCAUCUGUGAUCUGAAUAUGAGAAUUUCUCUACCUUGCAACAUGCAUAAUGGACUUUAAAUGCCACCACAUUUAAUUUAUGACAUGUUCAACUUUUUAUUUAUUUAUUUUGCUUUUUUGUAUCUACAGAAAUCCUCGCAUAGUUUAAAUCAUAGAGUUAAAUUUAUCUUGUUUGCAAUAUUUAGAAAUCAAUUCUAUAAUUCCGCGGCAUCGUGGGCGGGUGUCGUCUACUUAACUAGUUGUAGUCUUGUAGAUGCAUCCUCGAUGUAGUAUGACAUUGAUUUCACCACAUGCAAGAGAACGAUGGAACAGCUAAUGGAACAAGGAUGGGUGUACCGGACAGCGCAGUUGUUCAAUAUAUGGGAGAUUCAGGCAGCGGUCCUCUUGAGCUUCGCAGCACAUCUUGUCCUAGUAACACUCGCCGGUGCCCGUCGGCGCAAGGCCUCCGGCGUGCGGAUGCUCCUCCUCUGGCUGGCGUACCAGCUGGGCAACUUGGUCGCGCCCUACGCCCUCACCAACCUGUCCCUCUGCGACCUAUGUGCUGACGGUGGCGUCACGGAUCGGAGGAGCCACCUAUGUGCUAGUGCAAGCAUUUGUACAUCGGCGGCGGUGACGGCGGGGCUUUGAUCCGGGCGUCCAUCAUCAUCUUCGCCGUGGGUGCUACCAAGUACGCUGAGAGGGCAUUUGCGCUAUGGCGAGGGGACUUGGCCAACAUCCGGAGCUCGAGCAAGAAGAUGGGUCAACUGAGUAGAUUCAUCACUAGCGAUCCGAAGUACAGGAUGGGAGGGUUGUCUUGACGAUGAGGAUGCGCUGAUGGUCGCGCACGCCAUGCUCCCGCUCUGCAGGCGUGCCAUGGCUGAUACUUCGGUCCGCGCGGACGGUGAUACCCUCCAUGUAAGCUAGGAAAUAUUUGCCACCAGCUGGGAUAACACGUGCAAGGUAGUGGAGAUGGAGCUCUCGCUCAUGUACGACAUUCUCUACACCAAGGCGGCCGUUGUCCACACCUGGCAUGGUUACGGCAUCCGUGUCAUGUCGCUGGCAGCCAUUGCUGCCACGACGGUGCUGUUUGGAGUCUACUACAGCAAAGAAGGCCAGGGCAAACCGGACGUGAUGAUCACCUAUGUUAGGAAUAAUCUUGUUCGUAUGAUUAGAUUAUUAGGUCGAGUUGGAGUCUUAAGUAGACUAGGUUUAGGUUAAUCGUGAUCAACGUAGCCGUGUAAUUAGCUAGGAUGUUCUACUAGUACAAGGCUUGCACGUCCGUGUGUUAAAUCGUCUUACGACUCAGGGCCGGACUAGGUUAGCUUGUACGUGUAGGUUUAGGUCUGCUUUGAGUCUGUUUGUGCUGGCCGGUUAUGCAUAUAAUUAUGCAUAGUCCUGCGUGAGUUUGUAACAUCGGUGCGAGAAAACAGAAAAUAAAAAGAAGAGAAACAAAGGGCACGACAAGAGCCCUUGACUAAACAGUUUUUGCGUGUGCGUGUUCAUCGUGAUUUGAUGUGAUCGGUCCCGUGGUGAAUUUCCAACAAUUGGUAUCUAAAGCUAGGUCGAUUUGAAGCCGCGCUUGCCCCGGGGUGGCGAUCUACUAGCGCCUCGGGCGGGCCAUGAAGUCCCUGGAUGAUGCGGCGAGGAGGAGGAUCAGGCGAUUGUCGUUCGGCGGAGCGCCAUGAAGGAAGACGGCACGCUGUCGUCGGCAAGGUGAUGGAAGACGAUGUUGAUGGGAGCAGUGGUGCCGAGGUGCGGUGCCGGAAAGUCAUCAAGACAGUCAUCCAGGGGAGUCUGGAGAGUCAAGGAGUCAUUUGGGUUAGCACGGUCGGUCGGUCGGUCGUCGUCAUGUCCAAGUGCUCAUCUCUGUGAGAAGGCGUUGAAGAUGAAGUGCCCAGGUCGUCUAUGUGUCUCGACGAGAGGAUCAAGUUCAACUACGUGGGGACGAUAAACCAGUGAAGGUGAGUCUCUUCAAUGAGGCCAUGUCUCUACAUGAGGCUGGAGUGCAUGGUGUAGUGCAUAGGGUGGCGUGAUCGACAAGGAGCCGGCAUGUAUCUUACUAGGAUGGAUGGUGAAGUCCACCGGGUGAUGUAUUUCACGGGUUACUAGUAAGGCUGGGUAGUCCAUGGCAUAUUUGAUGCGAUGCGUAAAUUCGCCAAGUUGAAAUUGGGGAGAGAUUAUUGCGAGCUAUCAAGGCCGUCAAUUUGACUUGUCGUGGUGCAAGCGAAUGAGUCGACAAGAGAUGAAUCGUCAACGAGUUAAGACCAGAGAAGCAACGAAGACAAACUGUCAAGAAUAGGAUGAGAUUGUUACGAAUAAUCUUGUUCGUAUGAUUAGAUUAGGUUGGGUUGGAGUCUUAAGUAGACUAGGUUUAGAUUAAUCAUGAUCAACGUUGCCGUGUAAUUAGAUAGGAUAUAUAGUGUUACUUUUCAUUACCCAGGGUGCAGAAUAAGUUAUUCUUCAUCCAACGUAAUUUUACGAUCGUAUCAUAAAUAAAUUACGUUUGAAAUACAAAUAGUUACAUUCAUAUUAAUUUACUACAUAAAAUUUGGCAUAAGAAUACAAAAAUAUAGGUGAUAAGAUUAGAAAAAAUGCAUUUUAUGUAUAUUUUACACUAUGUUUUAUGUUUGUAAUUUUAUGUAACAUAAAAUAUUUUUUACGGUGACUAUAUAUUUUCUUACGAUCUAUUUUUACGUAUAAAAUAAGAUAAAAUUUACGGAAUGUAAAAUUACGGUGCAUUGCUAUUAAAAUAGAGGAGGGUGAAGAAUAACUAUUCCUCACCCAGGGUGACGAAUAGUCAACCCUCACUCAAGAUCACAAUAGGUCCAUCUCCUUUAUUUUCGCGAGAUAUCAUAUUUGUGUUGCCGCUUAUCCUCUAUUAGGUAGAGAUAUAGCAAAUAUGCCUGUGCGUUGCAAUGGGGAAAAACAAUUAGACUAUGUUAGGAUGAGAUAAGGACUUUUAAAAUGUCAUGUCAUAAACUACGUCUCGUCUUGACCUAGCAUUGCGCCAUAGAAAGUUGUGUCAAUUUUUCUGGGAGCAAGCAUUGUAUAGAACACAAAAACCCUUUUUUAACCGAUGCGUCAUGGACUAAAUAAAAUCAUAAAACAACCUCUAUCUAUCCCCUAAAAAAUAUUUAAGUGAUGGUUCGUCUUUUCGUUAUUUACGUAUCUGCUUGAAUUUUUGCAAACAUUUUCUAAAAUUUUAUGGACAUAAUUUUCAAAUUUUUGAAUAUGUUUUGAAUUCACGAUCACCUUUUAAAAAUCAUGAAUAUUUUUUUUGAAAUAAUGUUUUUAUACUAUGCAAACAGUUUCUUAAUCUUAUUUAUUUUAUGAUUUCUCUACCAUUUUCUGAGUUCGUGAACAUUUUACGAUUUCUAUACAAAAUUCAACUCACAACCUUUUAAAAUUUGGAAUUUUUCCGUUGAAAAGAUAUAAACAUAAACAGAAAUAAGAAGAAAAAAAGUAAAAAGAAAAAAGAAAAGAAAACAGAAUGAAGACAUCACACCUGUAACAUGUGCGGGAGAAGGACGAUCCCUUGCGGAAAAAAUAAGAGAAAAGGGGCGAACUGGGGAUCGAACACAGGUCUCCUACAUGAUGUGUUGAAGCAUAGACCAGUGCGGCACUCUUCCAAUUGUGUUUUAUUAGGGUAGCACUGUAUAAUAAUCAAACCCCGCGGCGGCCUUCAAGAAAAAAAAACUGAAUCUUUUUUUCACUUAUAGAUGGCAUAGUGGGUAAUUUAGGGCAACUUCAAGGGUAGUUUUUAUGACGUACGGCAGAAACCCAAUUCUCUUUAUUAUAUAAAAAUAAUAUGCAUUUUCCCUAUAUAUAUGGACGAAUUUUUCCUACUACCGGAUGUAGUUACUCCCAUUUUUGUUUCAUAUGUUCUAGGUAGUAUCUAUCAUAUCGGAGAGUAUGUAUGCGUAGUAUGUAGUAUAUAAGAAUAUAUAGGUAGUAUAUAUACUACUUUUUUGGUAGUAUGUAUCAUAUUUUGUGCAUACUCCAUUUCACAUACAAAUAUGUACGUAUUUCAUGAAAACAAUAAAACUAUGGGCUCACUUGCAAUUUUUUUAUCGAACUCAUUUUGGAGUAUCUUAGAUAUAGUAUGUGAACAUACUAAAAUAAAUAAUAUAGAGUAUAUACUACCACAUGGUGGUAUAUGAGAAAUGGGUGUAACUACACCCGGUAGUAGUAGGAUGCAUUUUCCCUAUAUAUAUAUAUAUAAUAAUAAUAAAGUACGGAUUGACUCCAUGAGUUCACCGUCACAAUGCACUUUCUUCUUAUGUCAUAAUACGUUUCUUCAUGUCCGUUUUUUCUUGAUUUCGAUAUUUUUCUUAAUACCGGUGGUACUAUCUAUCUAUUUCUUCACGGGUGCGUUUCUUUACCUAAAUGGCCAUCGCUUUUCUCCAUAAAACUUCACUAAAAAUUACCCACCGUGACAUCCAUGAGUUAAAAAACGAUUCGUUAAAAAAACAAUCAGAAAAAAAGCGAACGCACGCAUCUGUCUAUUUCCUCUGUUCCUCAACCAGAAGCGCCAACAGACCCUGAUUCCUCCUCCUGGCUCCUGCUCUACCCAGCGCCGCCACCCACUCCAUCUCCGGCCGCCGGAGCUCAUCCUCUCUCCCGGACGGCCGAACUUCUGCUCUCCUUAUCUUUCCUACCCGUCUCCCCUGACACACCCCCAACUCGCUCUUGCUCUGUUGCCCUAGCUCGCACCGCCACCGCACGCCCCGCCGAUCCAAUAAUCGGAAACCACGCCCAGGAGCUCAUCCUGCGCUGCUUCUGAACCGCCUGGUUGCCGUUGCACCGAUUCCCCCAUCCCUCUAGCAUGCCUCUGCUAUCACCUCACCGUGACUCCCGCUGGAGAGGCUCCGCUCAUGCUGCUGCUUUCCUGGACGGCCCCUCCCCGCCACUGCAGUGCAAUGCGUAGCCGAUAUCGUGACCAACAUGUUGGCGGUCGGGAUGGACGAACUCCUUGAUCAAUCUAUGAUCCUGAAGGACUCGCUUGGCUACCAGAUAUAUUGCAACAUGGCUUUCUCUGUUCAAUUGUUGUGGCUGUCUUUGUCUUCCUUCUAACGGAGGUGUCCUCACCUGAACUCCAAGGAAACCAAGUUACUUGGUGUGAUGGAGACCAAUACAUCAAGUAGGCAAGAUAAAACUAUGAAACAACUUGUUUCUGCUUUGUUUUUUCUGAUUUAUUCACACGCUAUUUAAUAGUUCCCAUGAAAAACGUUUACUGAAAUCUUUGUAAGUUUGACCAAUGAAUUGCUUUUGUUGGAAAUCUUAUGAUCAAUCUCAUCUUAUUAGUAACUCUGUUUCGAAACAUAUGUAUUGGUAGAUUUUAUCUCUAUGCUUUUGCCUUCUGUACAUGCUGAAUUGCAAACAGCUCAACAUAGUAUUAGUAAAUCAUUUUUCUUGUCAGUUCUGCUUCUCUUUAUAUAUAAUACUAUUUAUACUAUUCGAAGGACAUCUGGCUGAGUUCUAAUAAAAAUCUUCAGGUUUGUAUGAUGGGAUCGUCUUCAGAAAAGAAGAUUUGUGUUGACUAUUGACAAGGACAGCCACUAUGAUAGCUACUAUUCGAAGCCCAUGUUUCAGUAUGCAGUCAUGCAGGUCACAAAGGUAAUGACGUUAUAUUUGAUUACUAAUAAAUGCAGGCAAGUAAAAUAAUGACACUGGCAUCAUGUCUCUAGGCUAAUGUAAUCAGUUUCUUCGCACAAUUGCUCAUUGUCCAAUUGAUUGGUCAGAACAAAUGUACAAGAAACUUCAGGUGGAGACUCCAAAACAUUGAUGUUUGUUCAAAUUAGCCCAAGGAAACUCUCUGCUCGCUGAACUUUGCAAGCAGAGUGAGAGGUGAAUUUCUGCAAUUUAUUGUCUAGAUAGAAGGGACAUGGGAGGUUGAGGUGAAACUGGUGAGCAGCAGCAGCGCUUCCUUGAUUGCAUGUACGACCGACAGGAGAAGGGAAAGUGCAGGGAGCUUGGAGGUGAGAUACCAUGGGUUUUGUUUCACAUAUUGCACUUUAAUCAAUGGUAGAUCAUGAACUGUUAUGCAAUACUCGGCUAGACGUAACUAUGAGAGGACUUGGGGUACAACCAUCUUAAUCGGAUGCUCGAUUUCUUUGGCUGCCCUCUCACAACUCUCUGGAGUUAGUUAACAAUAUGCUGCUGCUUUUUCUUGCCUUUGCUGCUGCUGUGCUCUUUCUUACUUGUGGUACUAUCUAAGGUUUGUUUAACUGUCGCCACAUUUUAGUCAAUCGUGCAUGCAUGCAGGCCGGCAUGGUACUAGGAUUUUUUUUCUGGAUAACUAAUUGUAGUACCAUUGUAGGUUUAUUUUAUAAGGAAGAAAGGAGAACAAUGCUGUCUAAGUUGUUGUCAGUGACGAGUUGAGAGUUUUUAUCCUAGCAAUAUUUGUACCAAGUUUUGCAAACUUACUUCCAUCAAGCCGUGCUGGAUAUGAACUCCACAUGAAUCACCCUCCUUUGCAACAUAAAAAAGCAUAGAGCCCCUCUACGGAAGCCACGUCUGAAUUGCAAAUUCCGGUGCUCGAAAUUAUCUCACUGGAAGGAUCCAAUCUUGCCAUUCUACCAACUUCGCUGGGACGCCGACCACCCACGCUUCACCUGAGGUACGCUGUUGUAAAUUCUGCACCACCAGGAUCACAUGCCAAGAUAAAAGCGACAUGUUUGUUAUGUUUCAUAAUCUUUUUGAAAUUAAAAUUUGAAAAGAGCAUGAGUUUUGAUAGGAUUUGGUAAUAUCCAUCAGUUGCUUAUUGUAACAUGUGCCUUCUAGUAGAUUGAUGUAGAUAGAAUCAUACUGCUAAUUUCCUGUAAUUUCGUCAUCUCAAAGUUGUUUAUCCAUUUGGUUGGCUGUUGUCAUGACCAUCAAAAACCGCCUCUCUUAGCUAUUCGUACUGUUAAAGAUAGUUCUAGAGACCCCGAGGAAGUAAUCUGUUAUACGCCUGACACAUGAUUGAGAAUUAACUUCCCUGAAGAUCUGGUUAACCUCAAACCUCUUUUCCAAAUAUUAAUGAGCUGUUGUUUCUGGAAAAUUCCAUCAACGCUCCAUAAAAAUGUAUGAUGUACCUUUACUUUGGAGCAUUAGUAUGCAAACUCCAGAAUUGGAGUAUUAGUCUGCAAACUCCAGAAAGUUUCUGUGGUCCUCAUACAUACAUCAUGAAGUUGGUAACUAUUGUGGCAUUUACAUUCAGAUUCGACAGGAAUAGAAACUGAACGUAUCAAAUAGUUAUGUUAAGCUAGAUGGGUAACUCUUUAUGCUUUCAUUUCCGAAUUAUUGUUUGAACAAUCUGAUGAGAUGUUUAAUGUCUAUUUUUUAUUGUGUUGCAGAAAAUGAAUCAUAACGAUGAAUGAACAACUAUUGAGGAUUUUGAUAAUCGGCCUUUAAAAAAUACAUUCUGAAUCAUGUGUUUCCAAUUCAGAUAAACUGAUAGAUGGUGAUGAAGAUCCAUCACCAACUAUCUCAACAUCAUCUCCGGUUUCUGAAGUUCUGAAAUGAUUGUUUCAGAACUAGAUAGACACAUAAACCUCUGUCACCAACCAUCUCGACAUUAUCUCUAUUUUGUGAAUUAAUGAAUAAAGGAAAAGUUUCAUUAGAUCCUAAUGUGCACCUUGCUUAAAUCCUACUCCCUCCACCGCAAAAUAAGUGCCAUUGAGUUGGUACUUUUCUGAAAUAAUCUUCUCAAGAUUUCAUGCUAACAUGUGGCUUCGUCAGUAGAUUAUAUCAGGAAAUCAAAGUCAGUUUCCUCAUUCUGGAAUUACUUCUUAUUUGCAACUGAUUGGUGUUGGACCGGAUUAUACAUGCUCCUCUGUGUGCUCUACUUAUGGAAAAUUGUACAUGGAUAUACAUAGAUUGGAAUUGAGAUUUGGAGCAAUUUGGUUGGUUUUGCUUUGUACUGAUGCUGCCAUUAUUUGUGUGAUGAUGUCAUUAUUGUACAGAGGAAAGGUACAGUCAGAGAGAUGGAUAGAAAUUGCUAGCUAUUUUUGUUGCAAUUUUUUGUUGCCGAAGCUUAUUAUUUAUUUGUUGUUGUUGCAGUUGUUGUGAUGGGAAGUUAAAAAUAUUUUUUAUUAUUUCAAAGCAAUGUCAGAUUUAACAAUUUGAACUAGACUGGACUACAGCAUGUUCAUUUAGACUCUGAACGUGAUUAACAUGAUCAUGUAAUUUUUAGUGCCUAAAACAGGUUGCUGAGGUAUUUUUACUCCCGUUGUAACGCACGGGCAUUUGUGCAUUUUUAUUAAUUGUAUUUAUAAUUGACAUUACUGAUUAUUAUGCAUUUGAAAAGGUUGUAACGAGAAAGAGGACGGUGAUGGUCUAAAUCGGCAUGCACUCAACAAUCGUUUUGAUAGCAGAUCAAUACAUAUUUUUUUGCUCUUAUUUUUCCCGUUGCAACGCACGGGCCAUUAUACUAGUAUAUAUAACAACUCGCAAGAUGUUGAUAUUCAUCAGAGUAUGUUAAAAAAGAUCUUCAUCUCAGAGAGGGUCAUCGGUGGAGCAUUAAUUGUUUAUGCAUACAAGAUCUAUAUCCGACCUGAUUAAAUAACAAGAAAUCACCAUCGAUCAUCAAUGACCAUCCUAUCAUACGAGACACGACAUUCAGAUUUGUUAACAAGGUUCAUCGAAUCUGGCUACAUCCCGGGGGAUAUGACUAUGGACACUCCUCCCCAUGAUACUGUCCUGGCCGGGCACCGGCACACCUCGCCGGCUACCCUGCGUGCAUGUCCUAUUAAUUAUGUUGGCAUAGAUUACAUCGUCUGUCUACCACUUAUUAUAUAGGAGGUCUAAGAUACAAGUGUCCUAUUAGGACACGACUUCAUAUUGUGUCUAAACACAAUACAACUUAGAGUCCAACUGUAACCUAUCUUAUACACUAUAUUCGACACAAUUCCAACAAACUGCACCUUAGUGAAUAUUCUCCACCACAUUGAAUCUGUCCAUGCGUCAAACUUCCAUGUAUAUUGAACUUGAGCUUAUCCCAUAAGUACCUACUACUUCAUUGGUGAUACUAACUAGAGAACACUAUUAUCAUACUUGUGCAUUGGGAAUAGCUAAUAUUUGAGUAUGUUUCAUAAAUGGAUCAAUGAUUGAGCAUAAUGAGCUAGGGAUAGCUUUAGUGUUGAUAUUUUGAAAGACAUGGUUGCUUGUUGAUAUACUUGAGUAUUGAUGUCCUCUUGUCAAUUAUAGACUAUUGCUUUGAAUCAUCUAAAGUCCAAAUGUCCAUGCUACAAAAGAAAAGAAUAUGUGAUGAACAUGUUAGGCAUCAUUCCACAUCAAAAAUUCUGUUUAUAUCAUUUACCUACUCGAGGACGAGCAGGAAUUAAGCUUGGGGAUACUGAUACAUCUCCAACGUAUCUAUAAUUUUUUAUUGUUUCAUGCUGUUAUAUUAUCAAUAUUGGAUGUUUUAUAUUCAUUUAAUAGCAACUUUAUAGUAUUUUUGGGACUAAUCUAUUGACAUAGUGCCCAAUUCCAGUUGCUAUUUUUUGCUUCUUUUUACUUUACAGAAUAUGAAUACCAAAUGAUGUCCAAAUGCAACGAAACUUUUUACAGCUUUUUUUCUGCCCAGAAGACACCAGGGAGCCAAAGGAGCACACGGGAGGAGGCUCGUGGGGCUCACUAGGCACCAGGGCAUGCCAGGGGGCCCAAGCGCGCCCUGGUGGGUAGUGGAGCCCAUAGGAAGCUUCUCCACCGACCUCCACAUCUAUAAAUAUUCUAAAAUCCCCAAAACCCUAGGGGAGUCAAGGAAAUACAGUUUCAGCCGCCACAAAUUCUAGAACCACGAGAUCCAAUCUAGAGGCCUUUCUGGCACUCUGCCGGAGGGGCAAUGAUCACAGAGGGGUUCUUCAUCAUCCUUGUCACCCCUUCGAUGAUGCGUGAGUAGUUUACCACAGACCUGCGGGUUCAUAGCUAGUAGCUAGAUGGCUUCUUCUCUCUUUUUGAUCUUCAAUACAAUGUUCUCCUCGAUGUUCUUGGAGAUCAUUUGAUGUAACUCCUUUUUGCGGCGUGUUUGUUGGGAUCCGAUGAAUUGUGGGUUUAUGAUCAGUUCUAUCCAUGAAUAUUAUUUGAGUCUUUGCUGAACACUUAUAUGCAUGAUUGUUAUAGCCUCAUAUUUCUUCUCCGGAAUUUUUGUUGGUUUGGCCAACUAGAUUGAUUUUUCUUGCCACCAAAAAAGGUGCUUUGUGAUGGGUUCGAUCUUGCCAUGCUCAAUCUCAGUGACAGAAAGAGACAUGACACACAUGUAUCAUUACUAUUAAGGAUAAAAAGAUGGGGUAUAUUCCUACAUGAAUGGAUCUUGUCUACAUCAUGUUAUCAUUCUUAUUGCAUUACUUUGUUUUUCCAUGAACUUAAUACACUAGAAGCAUGCUGGAUAGCGGUCGAUGUGUGGAGUAAUAGUACUAGAUGCAGGCACGAGUCGGUCUACUAAUCUUGGACGUGAUGCCUAUAUACAUGAUCAUUGCCUUGGUCAUGAUUAUUCGCUUUUCUAUCAAUUGCCCAACAGUAAUUUGUUUACCCACCGCAUGCUAUUUUUUUGAGAGAAGCCUCUAGUGAAAAAUACGUCCCUUGGGUCUAUGUCUUAUCAUAUUAAAUCCAAAAAUACAUUGCUGCACUUUUUCUUUCUUUAUUUUUUUUUAUGUUUUUGCUAGAUCUAUUUAUCAAAUCUCAUACAAUUUAAUCUAUCUCAAUACCGAGGAGGGAUUGACAACCCCUCUUACACGUUGGUUUGUAAGUAUUUGUUGUUUGUGUGCAAGUGGUGUUUACAUAGAGUUGCUUGGUUCUCCUACUGGAUUGAUAACUUUGGUUUCAUAACUGAGGUAAAUACUUAUCUUUGUUGUGCUGCAUAAUCCUCUCCUCUUCGGGGAAAUACCAACGCAGACACGAGCAAUUAGGAAGAACUUCUGGCGCCGGUGCCGGGGGACAUCAUCAACAUCUAUCAAGUAACCAAUCACAAAUCUCAUCUCUUUGCAAUUACUUUAUUUGUCAUUUGCCUCUCAUUUUCAUCUCCCCCACUUCUAAAAAGAUUUUGCAAAAACACAAAAAUAUUUUCCGUUUCUUGUUUGAUCUCUUGUUUGCUUCCCCACCUUAUCAUUACGGAUAGUUCCUCCCUUGCCAUGUGCACCCUUAAGAAUGAAUUUCUCGAUUUCAAACAAAGGGGGUGAGAAAAUUUAAGAGAUGCUUGGUAUAGAAUUUGCAACGCUCAUAAUAGAUCUACUCGUAAGCAAUCGACUACCAUUCUUCUUCGAAUUUUUUAUGUCGGAAUUACUACCUGGUAUAGAUUUGUUCUUGACACUAUUACCAGAAGGAAUUUCUUGAUGCGUCCCUCUAUGGAUUCUUUUAAUGCUAUGGGAAAUUUAGUGGGAUCGCCACCUAUCAUUAUCAAUGAAAAGAUUUUAACCCUUGAGCAUGUUAUGCAAAGGCUAGAUGCUAUUGAAAAGAAAAUGCUCACCGAAGAACAUAUUGAAAAUGUGGACAAAAGGAUCCAUAAUCUUUCUAACUGAAUUGGGUCAAAGAUAGGGGAUACUCUUCAAAUACUAAAAGAGAAAAGAUCCGUAAUUAACAAAAGGGUAGAGGAGAGCCCUUCUCGGAUUGAUAGAUUGGAAAUAAAAUUAGUAACUUGAGCUUAACUCUUUCUUCCAUUAAAAAUAUUGAAAAAACUCCUACACAAAAUUGCAAGCCUACACAUGUUCCUAAGAACAAGGGUACCACCUCUAGUAGUAACAAUGAAGAUCUUAAAAUGAUUAGUAUUCACCCCAACUUUGUUGAAGUAAUAAAAAAUCCUACUUGCAAGAGUGAAUGCUUCAAUUUUAUUCCUAGGAGCGUGAUUAUUGAAAGUAUGCACACUAGAUCUCCGAGGAAUUAUGGUUGUGUUAUUGAGGAGUUGGAAAUCAAAGAAGACAAUACUUGAAUCUAUCUAUUAUGCCUACCUAGGGGCAUAAAACAAUAGCGUUUGUUGGGAGGCAGCCCAACGAAUAAAAUAUUUUUUUCUCUUUUUUCUGUCCUUGUGUGUUUACACAAUUAUGCUGCUGUAAUGAUUGUCUCUAUUCCUAAUGGAGCAGUUGGUAGUCUCGCUUCCAGGUUUUUUUUAGUCCCACCUUCCACGGUUUUUUUUCGUCCUAAAAAAAUCUACGAAAUUUCGUAGGUUAACCAGGGACAACUCCCACCUCCCAGGUUUUUUUCGUCCCAUCUCCCAUGGUUUUUUUGGGUACCUCGUCCCACCUCACACUAAGCCGCCACGAACCGCAAAAACCGCCUACCUUAGCCAAAUCAACAAAUCUCUCUCAUUAAUGCAAUUUUCUUUAGGAAACAAAUAAUGGAUUCUUUCCUACCAUAGCCAAAUCAACGGAUCUUUUCUAUUAAUGCAAUUUGCUUUAGCAAACAAAUAAUAGAUUCUUUCCUACCUUAGCCAAAUCAACGGAUCCCUCCCAUUAAUGCAAUUUGCUUUAGCAAACAAAUAAUAGAUUCUUUCCUACCUUAACCAAAUCUACGAAAUCUCUCUCAUUAAUGCAAUUUGCUUUAGGAAACAAAUAAUAGAUUUUCAGAAAACAAAUAAUCUCUAAUCUCUAAUAAUUUCUACUCCCAAUGAAACAGUUGGUAGUCUCCUCCCACCUUCCAUGGUUUUUUUUGGUACCUCCUCCUACCUUCGCUGGUUUUUUUUCGUAGAUUUUUUUCGUUCCCUCCCCUCACUUCAUCGGUUUAUUUUCGCGUUACCCUCUCACACAACGAAAGAAAUCUAAACAGAUCAGAACUUUUCAUACUGGCGCAAGUUAUUUAGUAAUGUAGAAUCAAUCACGAACAAUCUCUAAAGAUCAAAUCUAAAUUAAUUAACCUUACCUUAAAUCACUCAGUUACAUUAAUUAGAAAACAAAUAAUUGAUUUUCAAAAAAUCGCUCAAUCACGUAAACCUUACCUUAACUCACGGAUGGUAAUCAAUCUCCAAACAAAGGAAACAAUACAUCGAGGGAGCAAUAAAUAAACUCCCUUUCUUAUGACAUGUAUAUGAUCUUUCCUUCCCUCUACGUUGUCGAGCGUUCUUGAUUCUCGAGGCCGAUGCUUGGGCUGCGUCACUGGGUCGCGACGGUGCUGGAGGACGAGGACGGCGAGGCCGGGUGCCGCGGCACCGCGUUGGCCGCGGCCGGUGAAGGGGCAAAGAAGGGCGGCUUCCCUGGCCCUGGCCAUGGCCGUGACCCUGUGAGUUGGUGCGGUGGAAGUGGCACUUGAAGGACACGGCGUGGGUGGCCGACGCGCAGACGCGCUUGGAAGCGGGCCCGUGGCCCGUGCCGGACGGCGCCGACGCCGACCCGGGCCACCUCCUCCGCGUAUUCUUGGAGCUGUGGCUGGCCGAUUUACAUGAAAUUAAUUCCCUCAGUUAUGGUGGCAAAUAUAAUACACAUAAUCCAUAUUGUUAUGUACUAGCUUGUGUGUGUGAAAUAGAUGGAUUAUGGUCCCGUACCCAAUAAGAUGGAUAUGUGUGUGUUAGAGAGAGAGAGAGGGAGAGGGCGAGAGAGUGAGGAAGAGGGAGGCAGAGAGUGUGUGUGAGGAAUUGAUGAUAAAAAAGGUCGCCAAUGUCACUUGAUAUAUAUGAGAAUAUUAAUAUUGAACUUUUAAAGUUAAUGUGGCCCCGUUGCAACGCACGGGUGUUCUUCUAGUUGUGUUUUUAUGUUUUAAUUAGUGUUUGUGCCAAGUAAAGAUUUUAGUAUGAUGUUGGGUGAUAGUUGAUUUGAUCUUAUUGGAAAACAGAAACUUUUGCGUCCAGUAGAAGAAUUUUCAAAAAUCACUGAAGCGAAAAAAAAUUCUGAAAUUUUUACACCCGAUUGAUAUACGAAUUGCCUACGAUUUCCUAAUUGUUUAGAUUUUUUGGACUAACAGAAGUAUGGUUAAAGUACAGAUUACUACAGACUAUUCUGUGUUUUACAGAUUCUGUUUUCGUUGCAUUGCGUGCUUAUUUUGAUAAAUCUAUGGGGAUAAAAAUACAAUCACUAGUAGACAAAGGGUCUAAUGUGAAUCUCAUUAGUGCCGGUUUGUAAUUGAACUGGCAGUAAUGUGACCAUUAGUGCCGGUUCGAACGGCCAGGCGGCCGGCGCUCAUUAGUACCGGUUCGUGGCGAACCUUUAGUAUGGGUUGGUGGCUCCAACCGGUACUAAAGGGGGGGGUGUCCAACCGGUACUAAAGGUGAUGGCCUUUAGUACGGGUUGGUGGCUCCAACCGGUACUAAAGACCCCCCCUUUAGUACCGGUUGGAGCCACCAACCGAUACUAAAGGUGGUGCGCUGCCACCCGCAGUGCACAAUGUUUAGUCCCACCUCGCUAGUUGAGAGGAGCUCGCACCGGUUUAUAAGCCCCGCCGCGGCUACCGUGUCGAGCUCCUCUCUAAGCAGGCCUUUGUGGGCCUAUUGCAAGUCUUCUGCCCUGUGGGGCCUACUGGGCCAUACGGGCCUGCAUCCUGGCCCAACUAGAGAUUGGGUUUCUAGUCGUAUGCAGGCCGUGCCGGCCCAGUAGGUGGGCUGUUUUUGCUUUAUUUCAAAAAUAAAAAUAAAAAAAAUCCUUACCAACCGGGACUAAAGGUCCCCAAGACCACGACGCGCCUCGUGCCACGUGGUGGGCCUUUGGUCUCGGUUCAUGUUGAACCGGGACUAAAGGGGGGGGGACCUUUAGUCCCCACUCUUUAGUGCCGGUUCCAGAACCGGUACUAAAGGUCCUUACGAACAGGUACUAAAAGUCGUUUUUCUACUAGUGAAUGAGUACACACCCAGUCUCUGCAUUAUUAAGAUACAUAGAUCCAACACCAACACACACACGUGCACAAAUUAUCACACCUGCAAAGAGUAAAGUCAUACAAGACCAAAGUUAUGCCUAGGUGUAGGAAAAAAAUAGUAAUAUUAAUCCUCGUCGGGCUGGUGCUGAGAGACAAGAAAGCGACAAUUGCAAUAGAAACCUCCCACAACCAACAACCCCACCAAACAAAACCAUCUCCAAAAAUGACGCCUUCAAGAGGGAGGACGACGCCAUCACCCGAUCCGGGGAUUUGGAUGGUGUCGAAAUCCUGCCGAUGUCGAUAGGCAGCGAAGUGCACUAACGUUGACGCUAACUCUAUGUAAGCAUUGCCGUCAAUUCUGGUGGAACAUGGAUUGAUUGUGGAGGUUUUGCCUUUGGUACAACGUGCAUGUAAUAACAUACCUUUGGUAGAGCAGAACAAGGUGUUUUCUUUCCUGUCUUGCAUAGAAUCUGCCAAUCUGGAGAGUUGUCAGGAAAUCGAGUAGCUAGUUGAAUAGUAGGUUUUUGCGGCAAUUAUCUUCUUGGCCAUUUACAAGUGGAUAUAUAGUUUUACAUGUUAUCGAGUUGUUAGAUGGUGAAUUGUGACGUUUAAUAUGUUCGUGUUGGAGCUGCUUCUUGAUGGGAUUAACUUUUCUUUUGCAAAACCAACGCCUUUGUAUUUUAGCUCUAGUUUCCUUUCUUAGAAGAAGGGGAAAAAUGUAAAUAUUCAUAUUUUGGCCAGCUUGGAGGUGCAAAUUGGUGACCCUAACAUUCUCAAACCCUCUUUUGUUCAAACAAAUUAACUAAUUUUUAAAAAAUAAUGUGAUUUGAAUACUUGUUUAUUUGAUUGAACUAAAGAGGUUUAGAGGGUACUCUUCGGGUCACCAAUUUUCAUCGCUAGUUUCAAGCCAUAUUUGUCUUUUGUUCUUUGUGUUUGUUACUACGACUCUUUAGGUUCAUCAUUUCUGUAGAAGGAAAUGAACACAUAUUGAAAAAAGAGUUGUGCUCUUUAAUUCUUAGCUAACUAAGUUGGAAAUGCUCUAAAUUGCGUCCUCGUACAGAUCUGAAGACCAGCUUCAGCUCGAAGUCCACUAGAUGCACUUCUUAGGAACCUCUAACCGCGCCUUCUAAUUCUUGGACGAGAAACCCACAUCCGCCCUAGUAUGAAGAGUAGCGGAAAGCCUUUUGCACAUUAAGUUUCAACUGAUUGUGGACCGGUCUUGUCUAGCGCACCACCGAAUUCUUUUCAUGCGCAUAUUGUAGCACAUUUAGGGGCGGAGCGGGAGCAAAUGGUACCCGAUGCACCACUUCAACAUAGUGCAAAAUUUCCAAGCGAUGACGCAUUGAAUAAAGGUGUGUUUCGCAGCUUCUAAUGAAGAUUUUUGGACAUAAUAGAAGAUGAUAUAUAAAAAAAUUAGGCACUCAAAUGUUUACUAUAAUGAUAAAAUCAAGAGAUAAAAUUAUUUGAAAAGGGUGUCUUGCAUUCCCAAAUUCCAAAAUAUACCAGGAAACGAGAUAAGAAACAGAAUAAACAUUCAAGUAGAACAUUAUAAAAUGUCGCAUCAAAGUAUUUAAAUGACCCAAAUUUAAGAAUGGGUCUGUGUAGGACACAUCUAGAUAUGACAUAGUUAUGUCACAUAUAACCUGAUGUCCACUAUGUUAGUGGUCUAUUUUUUUUUCCUUGCUUUUUUUGUUUCUUGUUGUUGUGUAUUUGUGAGAGCUUAUUAGAUGUGACAUCCUUAUAAAACAUCUAGAUGUGGAUUAGGCAAACUGUUUGAGAAUUACCUUUAGCACAUUUUUACUUGUCGACUGUAUGGAAACUUGUAUAAAGUAUAUUCUAAUUAGAAGUUGUAACCCUUGAAAUUGCCCGCAUUUUGCCAAAACAUAGAGAUUUAACCUAUUGACUACAAGUUAUAAUUAUUGUUGCAAUUUGUAAUACAGAAAAAGCAAGUCAAGGACAGUACCAGAAUGGGCGUCCUUUGCAAUCUAAGGAUGAAAUGGAAGAUUGAACAGAUUGCCGAAUUGCCGAGAGCCAGACCGGCCAGAUUCGAAAUUGCGGCGUGCACCAUCAUCGUGCCGGGAUUCAGGCGUGCGAAUGAUGGUCGGUGAUGCGGCCUCCGGCGUCCCUAUCGCCGCCAGGCCGCCGCCUUUGACUUGUCUGCGCGAGGCGUAUGGAAGGGCUACGCACGCACAAACAGGGGAAAGACUAAUCCAUCUUUUUUUUAGGGAAGGAAAGACUAAUCAAUCGAUCGAUCAAAAUCAAAGUGUCCAACCACCCGUGUAGUGUAUGUGAUGUGGGCUGGGAAGCAAACUGCUUUGUCCGAUUGGCCUGCUUCGGCCCAGUCUGGAGGCGUGCGUCUGCCUGGAAACACAGACCCUGAUGCACUAGUCUUGGGCCAACCUGAUGCACAGGGCCUUUUUUGUGAUAGUUGCUACUAAAAAAAAUUCUUGCACCCGUAUUUCUGUGCAUCAGGGUCGGCCCAAUGGGCUCCACCCAGGGGAUCGAAGCUGCAUCGCUUGCUGGGCAGUCGCCACGCAAAACGCUGGUUCCUUUAGUCCCACAUGGGCUAGCGAGGUUGAGCGGGACCAGCUUAUAAUCCCCGCGCUGCUAAGCGAGUUGUCCCUUCGGAGACACCCGGUGAUUGGAUAAUGGAAAAAAUAGCAUUAGUGGCACUUUUUUUCAAUUUUUGGCACCUUUAAAAAUAAACCAAACCGUCUCUCUUAUUUAUUAUUCUCCUAAAUUAGUACUUAUUUUCACAUUCAAAAUUUUUGAAUUUCACCUGCAGUCUUUUCAGCCCCUCACGUAUACUACUAUUUUUAUUAGAAGGUUCAUCUUUUUUCUGAUCCUUACCCCUAUCAACUUUAAACAAACCGCCUCCUCUCUAGCUUCUCCGCCUCGCCUCAAAAAUAAGCUAUGAUUAUAUAUGAUAUUUUCAUUUUGUAUGAUAAAUUCAGCUCUAAAAAUAAGAGUUUUAUGAGCAUAAGUUUAAAGUCAUUAUUUUUUACUUUAAAAAGGUAAGUUGUGCACAUAAGCGAUUUGCAAAGGAUGCAUUUAUUAUCACCAUGCGUGAUACAUCUUGCGAGAUGAAAAAUGGUGGAGAACAUGUCUUACUCCCAGAAGAGAUGGAAGAAGCUAGGGCACAUGUUAUUGAAAGAGGCCAUAGCAGCGGCUCGGUGGAGCACCCACCGGCGUCGGGUACCUUCUACAGAUUCAUUGUCUACGCGCCUAGUAGUCUGCGUAGAUACCACGAUCAAUAUCCACCUCCUGACCAGCAUUACCAGGUCUACCAUCAGCAGGCGGCCAAGUAGAACAUGGCCGACCAUGAAGAGAACAAAUAUAUACGCAACACAUCCACACCCGGUUUCUAUCAUGAGCACCAUAUAUAAAUCAGUCUGUACAGCCAAAACGGCAACCGACCUAAAGUAGCAAAAAGAAAAAUUCCAUGCGACUCUGCUGACAACAAUGAAAUAACAUAUGCGACAUGUCAACCAUAAUCCACCACGCGGCAACACCAUUAUUAACCCACACAUGCGACCGUCAAAAAAGGAAACAAAACAGAUGGUAAAAAAUAGAGAAAAUAUCUCAUUGUACGGAUAAGACAUAAAAAAUAUAUUAGAAGAGAUAAAAGAAAAUAAGCCACACACAUAAAACGACCAAAGGAGAAAUAUCUCAAUCCAUAGAAAAAAUAAUAUACUCCGUAUAAUUCAAAAAGGGCAACCGAAAUCACAUGCACGUAGUCACACCGGCCGCCAUGCAGUGAUGCAUGUAAUCAUAUCCCUCCGAAAUUAGCGCCCGUGAUUGCAUGCACCUAUUAGUGGUCAAACCGGAAACAAGACAGAUACUACCACGCAGCAAAAGGCAGUUUGAUCUAACAAAACAAAUCCGAGGAUAAAUCGCCGGGUCCACCCAAUUGCAAUUCCGUAAAAUUCGGUGGUAAAUCCAAGGAAACCUCAAAUAGAAAAAUAAGAAAAAGGAAUCCUUUGCGGGGUAGUGAUGUUAUUAUACUAACACAUAAAGAAAUAAACUAUUUGGGACCGUGCUUGUCGGUGUAUCCGUGUAUGUAUGUCAUGCCCAACUUUGGAUUCUGUUCAAAUAAACACAUUGGGUCGUCAGUCUAAAGCGCAUCAAUCCAGAAUCCAACCAUUCCGAUUAUACAGAUACAAAAUUCGUACUUCAGCCAGAGAGCAUCUCAUGGUGCUUCAUCUGCACGUACAAAUGCUUCCGGCUGUACUGGUUAGUGCCUUGUGAAAGCAUGUGAACUUUUAUAUUAAAGAGAACAACUUAACAUGUACUAUUAAAUUUUCAAGUGCUCACUUAUGUGGAUAGAUCUCCCGUUCGCAUAGGGAUGUCAACAUUGAAAGCGUGGGAUCAUCGCUCGUCCAUUGUAAUAGUAGUUCUGCCCCCACGCCCAAGUACAGUAAACAGGCCCAGCCACCGUACCGUCAGCGCUGCGCCAACUCUCACAUGGACGAACAGGAGCUUUCCCUGCCAUGCAAGUUGCAGCAAACCACGGUGCCCAGGCACGUACGUACUCUUGAGGCCAUCCAUGGAACGUGCCAAGUAAACCAACCUGCAAGUGCAACCGCUGGUGAUACUCGUCACAUAAUGCACUUCACACUUGGAGACACCGGGCCGAAGGGGAAGACCGUGCCACCCGCGUCCACACGCACCUCGACGCCGGAGUCUGCGCGCUCAAGGCAUGCAUAGUCAGCCUCCGCCGCGGACGGGUAUUCGGAGCUAACGCACGUGGAGGACGCCCUAGCCGCACUCGGCGAGUUCCUUGAAUUAUCACCUGCGAACGGUCCACCGUCACGUACAGCUCGUUCGAGCAAGCGCUAAUCGCGCUCGAGCAGAGCGUCGCGGAGCUGCGGGCGGGGGCGUUCAGUUGGGGACGGCACGAUGGUUGCCACCUUGCUUCGGGCACCCAGUCGAUCAGAGAAGGUCAAAAGGAGCAAUGCGGCCUUGCUGUGACAAUGCAACACAUGCCGGGGAAGGUGUUGUCACCGGCGCGAUGGCUUUGGAGGCGGAGCCACAUGAAAAAAAUCGAGAAGCGGCCACCGGCACCACAGGACCUCCGACUCCGGUAACCGUUGUAUAAGUGACACGGAACGGCAGGACGCCGUCCGCCUGGGAGGUCGCGAGCUCGAGGCGGCAGGUUUUCGAAGGCUCCGGCGCGGUCCUCUGCGGCAGGCAGGUCCUCUGUGGCCAGUGCUGCGGUGAAACAGAAGCGAAUCCCACUAUUUAUACACCUUCCGCUCAUCUAGAAAGAACGAUUCAAGCGGCGAUCAAGAAGCAUCGAAUUAAGCGGCAGGAUGUCGGCAUGAACACGUGGCCAGAACAACGACCAAAGCGGCAAGCGAGUACCAGAACCAUCGAGUUAAGCGGCGUUCAAGGGACGAGACUUGCCUGCUCUCUUCCCGUGCUCCCAUCCGUGCUCCCGUGUACGUGCCUUGAUUUGAUUGGAAGAAAAUAAGGCCCGGCCCCAUCCCCUGAAAAUCAGGGGGGAAGAUGAUUAGAUUAAAAAAGAAAAGGAGAAAAUGCCAGCCGUAGAAUAAAGUGGGAGCACGGAUGAGAGCAUGGAAAGGGAGCAGGCAAGCCGGAUCCGCGUUCAAGACCCGAAUUUAGGCAACCAGCAUGCCGCAUAUGCAUGUAAACCGCAACAACCAGAACCACCACAUGCAAAAAAUAACACGGACACGCGUCUACAGAGGCAAAAAUCAAGCAGCAUACAACCGAGCGGGAGACAAACACGGAGGUGGAAAAAAAAACAGCCAGCCCACAACAUCUGUACGCAGUUGGUAGUCUCGCUUCCAGGUUUUUUUCGUCCCAUCUCCCACGGUUUAUUUUCGCUCUAAAAAAAUCUACGAACUUUCGCAGGUUAACCAGGGACAACUCCCACCUCCCAGAUUUUUUUUCGUCCCACCUCUCAUGGUUUCUUUGGUACCUCGUCCCACCUCACACUAAGCCGCCACGAACCGCAAAAACCGCCUACCUUAGCCAAAUCAACAAAUCUCUCUCAUUAAUGCAAUUUUUUUAGGAAACAAAUAAUAGAUUCUUUCCUACCUUAGCCAAAUCAACGGAUCUCUCCCAUUAAUGCAAUUUGCUUUAGUAAACAAAUAAUAGAUUCUUUCCUACCUUAGCCAAAUCAACGGAUCUCUCUCAUUAAUGCAAUUUGCUUUAGGAAACAAAUAAUAGAUUUUCAGGAAACAAAUAAUCUCUAAUAUCUAAUCUCUAAUCUCUAUCUCCAAUCUCUAUCUCUGAUCUCUAAUCCCUAAUCUCUAAUCUCUAAUCUCUAAUCUCUAAUAAUAAUAAUAAUCUCUAUCUCUACUCCUAAUGGACAAGUUGGUUGAAUAGUCCGGUUUAUUUUCGUCUCACAUCCCACCACCAUAUCUACUCACGUUAAUUUUUUUUACCCUCACAAUAAAAAGUUUCCUAACCUUUCCAAAGUUUCCUAACUAGACACGUUAUAAACGGGCAGGAACUGAUAGCACGUUACCAAUCAAUAAAAUUUAGUUUCAUGACAAUCAAUUCCAAAUCCUAAUUUUCCUAAUACGUCGAUCUUUCUCAAAUCCUAAUAAGCCCUCUUCCUCUUUCCUUUUUCACCGCUCCACCUAGAAAAAAAGACCCAUCAAUCACGCAACCCCUCCCUGCCUCUCCCCAACUCCCCAAGCGACAUCCUCUCUCCCCUCCCUGCCGUCCCCCAAGACGCCCUCGUGGGCGCACUCUUCAUCGGAGCGCCGUCCGCUGGAAGCCGGAGUCGGGUUGGAGAGCAGCCACCAGCGGGGGAGACCACAAGGGGAGGUGUUGGUUCUUCCUCCGAUUGAUGCAUCCGCUCGUGGGGGCAUUGCUGGUGGGGGGCGAGGAGCGAUGUUGGUGGCCAUGCUGGGGCCCGGCGGCGUGGGCGGGCGCGCUGGAACUGGUUGUGUCGAUGGCGUCGUUACCGCCGGAGACCACAUUCGUGUGGGCGCUGGCCAGCGCCGGGUGCGUGGCCGGGUAGGUGCGCGUGCCUCUCGACGGUCUGCUCGACCCGGCCGGGUCGGCAGCUGUACGGCUUCGAUGUGCUGCGCACUGCAAAGGGCUUCCGUCGCUCGAUGAGGUCAUCCAGCAGUAAGGGGAAAACCCCCCUUCGAUCCCUAACACUACCCCACCACAAUAAUCCAUUGCUAAAUUUUCUAUGACUGUUUGGUUAAAUUUGCAGGUCGGACAAGCUCGUUGGCCACAUUGGGUAGCUGCCACCCUCUGCUGAGAUUGUUCACACCAUGGAUGAGUUCUCCAACACUGUAAGCUACUCUUCUUUGGUUACGUUUUAUUUAAUCUGUGUAGAUUGAUGUGGGUUGGCUGAUGAUUGGCUAGGUUUGCUCGGUCAUUGAUUCGGCGGAGCUAUGCAGGGACACGCACUCAGAUAGGUGAUUGGAUGACGUCUGCUUGCUUCUUGUGUAAUAAUUUGGAAGCUCUGAAGCAAAGUGCUUUCAGUUUUCUUUUACUGAAUAUAAAUAUGUAUGUGAACUAGGGAGUUUACGGAGGAAGCAGAUAAGGCAUUAAUGACGAAUUAUGAGCAUCUUCAAGUAAGGUCUAUAACAUAAAUGGCAUCUGUGAAAAGGGAGAGAGCAGAGUGAAAUGACGGGUAGUUUCGUGUUGGACAUCACAGCGAGCCGGCCUGGCACCGGUAACACACUCGGGCAUGGCCCGGAGUUGCAACUCGUCCAUGGUGCCCAUGACGCCCAACUCCCACUCAUGGGUGUACGACCGGAUGCGCUUGUUCACCAGGCUGACGCACCUUUUUUCAAUUUUUGGCACCUUCAAAAAUAAACCGCCUCCUCUCUAGCUUCUCGCACAAACCGUCUCUCUUAUUUAUUAUUCUCCUAAAUUAGUACUUACUUUCAGAUUCAAAAUUUUUGAAUUUCACGUGCAGUCUUUUCAGCCCCUCACGUAUACUACUAUUUUUAUUAGAAGAUCCAUCUUUUUUCUGAUCCUUACCCCUAUCAACUUUAAAUAAACCGCCUCCU
RNAcentral lists this long non-coding RNA (80466 nucleotides) under Triticum aestivum (bread wheat). RNAcentral describes it as "long non-coding RNA (TAES_LNC021774)". The record is from RNAcentral. Lineage: Eukaryota; Viridiplantae; Streptophyta; Magnoliopsida; Poales; Poaceae.